AAGCCAAUACUUCUGCUGCUUAACCACUUGAGUAGAGGAAGACGGAGUAACAUCUCUGGCACGCUUCCUGGAAGCAACACACCUCAUCUGAGCAGCCUCUUGCUUCAGUGCCAUGUUGUAGAACUCAUCGUAUCUCAACGGCUCAAAGAGGAAAAGAGCGAGCUGAAUUUCCUCACGAAGACCACCCCUGAACUGAUAGAUCAUGCUCUUCUCAUCAGGAACAUCCUGCUUGGCAAAACGGGCGAGCUUCUGGAACAACUUGUUGUAGUCAUAGACAGACAAAGAGCCUUGCUUCAGAUUGCGGAAUUCCUGACGCUUACUCUCAACCACACUUUGAGGGAUGUGAUGAGCGCGGAAAUCUUGACGGAAAUUGUCCCAAGUGAUCAGACGUCCACCUCUGGAAUCCUUGUACUGCUGGAACCACUCUGCAGCCUGAUCUUUGAGCUGGAAAGAAGCGAACUUGACGAAAUCUUCAGGCCUGACGUUGCUGCAUUCAAAAUGCUUGCCCAGAUCCACUAGCCAAUCGUCAGCAUCGGUAGCCUCAACACAACCGCUGAACGUCUUUGGGCCAUUUGCGAGGAACUGGUUCAGAGUAGCAAAGUGGUGCUGAUUAUGGCCUUGAUUCCCUUGACUGCCUUGAUUGCGCUCUUGGAGAAUUUGCAUGAUCAACUGUGUGUUUGCGUUAGUAGUGGCCAUCACAGCUUGCCAUGCUUCUGGAGGAGGCGGAGGUGGAGGCGGAUCAGGAUUCGGAGUCGUGCGCGUUGGAGGAGCCAUCCUGAAGAGGUUGACCACCAUUAGCACAUUGAUAGACAACAAUAUAGAAGCUGAAUCCAACGGAAUGAAAAUUGCAACAUAUAGUCUUCACAUCCGAACAAAAUGAACGAAUGCAUUCCUCUUCAAAUGGUCACAUAUCCAUAAAUUGAGAAGCCACGUAGAAUUAAGGUAGAGAAAUAAAUCAACAAGGUACGGAUCAAGAACGAAUAAUCGGUAAGAAAUCCCAAUCUCAAACCAAUAUCCGUGGAAGAAGAACUAGAGCUACUAGAAUUCCCACCUAUGAAACUCCCGAACCUUUCCGGUUAUGCAAUCAGGUGUUGGGGAUACAGGGGAAGCAUAAUAUCUCACCCAAACUAGCAAAUCCUACAUCCAGCUGUAUCCAUCCUUCAACACAUAACCAAGAAAACUUCGGAAACCAUCUACCUCAACCUUCGAAAAGCAUCCAUUAUACAAGUUAUGGCGAUACUCCCGAACUCCCGCCCCAGUACUGGGUGGCGUCGAGGUUAUCUCACCAACGAACUGCAUAAAAGAGAUUUCCGAUGUCGCACACAUAUCUCAAGUAUACCAGAAUUGCAACGAUAAAAUUGUGACGACAACACCUCGGAGCUCAACUCCCCGGGACACUGCCACAACCCCUAAAGACAGGAGGCACCAAGAACAAUGUUCUCGUCACAAAACCAUCGGAACAAAUCCAAAAUACUCGCGUGAUCCUAAAAAUUUUUUUGUGAAAUUUGAGAAGAGAAGAGUCAAAACUCUACGUCAGGAUGCCUUACCAGAGCGAUGAGGAGACUGGGAAGUAAAAAGAAUUCCUAAGCUCUCCGAUAUAUAAUUCCUAAGGACUCAAAACAUUUUUCUAGACACAACUCGGCUGCUAAAAAUGAUCAAGCAAUGGGGGCUCCUAAGGUCGGGGAUGGCUCUGAUUACCAACUUGUAACGCCCUCGAUGCGGCUAUAGCUCCCACGUGUCGAGGCACGACUUAGAGGCAUAACCACAUUGAAAGCAAUGUCGCAAGUCAGGCAAUCAUUACAACAUCCCAUGUAAUAUAUAAUAAAAGGGGGAGAUAACAUAGUUGGCUUACACUCGCCACGUCACAUCAGAGUACAUAAAUAACAUCCAUCAAACAAACACUCAUGGCCCGACUACGGCGCCAAAAUAGAAAAGAACCCAACGUGCGACAAGGUCCUGAAUCGAUAACCCCAACUAGGCACCACUACUGAUCAUCCGGAAAAGACACAUAGUAUCGCUGAGAGUCCUCGUCGAACUCCCACUUGAGCUCGUAAUCGUCAACUGGAGCAGAAACACCUGGACCUGCAUCUGGAGUUGUAGCAUCUGUGAGCCACAGGGACUCAGCAAUCUCACACUCACGCGAUCAAGACUAUGUAAGCUCAUAGGAACGGAUAAGGCAAAAUAUGUGGAGCUGCAGCAAGCGACUAGCAUAUGUGGUGGCUAACUUAUACGCAAAAGAGAGCGAGAAGAGAAGGCGAAGCACGAGCGAGAAGCUAAAGGAACAUCCUGCGCAAGCAUAACUCCAACACUGUGUCCACUUCCCGGACUCCGCCGAGAAGGGGCCAUCACGGUAACACACACGGUUGAUUCAUUUUAAUUAAGUUUAAUUCAAGUAAUCUACAACCGGACAUUAACAAAUUCCCAUCUGCCCAUAACCGCGGGCACGGCUUUCGAAAGUUCAAUCCCUGCAGGGGGGUCCCAACUUAGCCCAUGACAAGCUCUCACGGUCAAUGAAGGAAUAGACCUCCACCCGAGACACACCGAUCAGACUCGGCAACCCGGUACAACAAGACAAUUCGACAGGUUAAAACAAGACCAGCAACACCGCCCGAAUGUGCCGACAAAUCCCGAUAGGAGCUGCACAUAUCUCUUUCUCAGGGCACACUCAGAUGAGCGCUCCAUACAACUAAAACCAAACCUCGAGUUUCCCCGAGGGGGCGCUGCACAGGACUCUAGUUUGGACCAACGCUCAGAGGAGCACUGGCCCGGGAGGGGUUAAAAUAAGAUGACCUUCGGGCUCCGAAAACCCAAGGGAAAAAGAGGCUAGGUGGCAAAUGGUAAAACCAAUGUUGGGCAUUGCUGGAAAAGCUUUCAUCAAGGUGAACUAUCAAGGGGUUCCCAUUAUAACCCAACCGCGUAAGGGACGCAACAAUCCGGGAACAUAACACCGAUAUGACGGAAACUAGGGCGGCAAGAGUGGAACAAAACACUAGGCGAGAGGCUGAGCCUUCCACCCUUUACCAAGUAUAUAGAUGCAUUAAGACAGCAUAGCAACAUAAUGAUAUCCCAACAAGAAAAUAAAUGUUCCAACAAGGAACGGCUCCAAUCUUCACCUGCAACUAACAACGCUAUAAGAAGGGCUGAGCAAAGCGGUAACAUAGCCAAUCAACGGUUUGCUAGGACAAUGGUGGGUUAGAGGAUCAACAUGGCAAUUGGGAGGCUGACAAGCAAAAGGUAGGCAUCGUAGCAGUGGCAAAGCAAAAGAGCGAGCAAACUAGCAUAGCAAAGAUAGUAGUGAUUUCGAGGGUAUGAUCAUCUUGCCUGCACAGUUGUCAGAGUUGACUGGAUCCUCGCAAGCAAACUCAACGGGCUCCUCGGUAGCGAACUCGUCUCCCGACUCUACCCAACAAGACAAACAAGCAACAAGGAUACAAUCAACCACGGGCAAGACCAAGCAAUAUGAUGAAAUGACGAUAUGCUAUGCGGGAUGCGAUGCGGGAUGCAAAAAGCAAGAUAUGACAGGAAAUGCAUGAACCUGGCAUCAACUUGGAAAACCAAGUGUGCCACUGGAUAUAGGGGAUGAAAUCGCUUGAAAACGAUAUAAAGAUCAUUGGAAUCGGAGCUACGGUUUGGAAAUGGCAAGCGUUUUAAGAUAUGACACCGGUCUGCGAUUUACAGCAAGUAGGCAUCUAAAUGCAACAAAAUGAACAUGCUACAACCACCAAACAUGAAAACAAAAUACAUGGCAGUGAUGUACACAAGAUGGUUGACAAAACACUAGCACUGAGCCAUAGGCAAAUUCAUCCAUUAAGAGGUUCAAACAAGCAUGGCUAAAACGCAAAUGCAAAACAGAUUCCAGACUUAGUGAAAUUAACACUAGUCUGAAAUUUCAGAUCACGAUGCUCUCUUCGGAGCAGCAAAACAACAUGAUAGAAAACCUGAACAUGACAAGUAAGAACAUGGCAUGGAGCUACUCAACAAGCUUAACAAAACACCCAAAGUGACCUGGGGCCAAAAGGGUUCACAAAAUACUCUACCGAGCUCACGAACAUAGCUCGAACACAAUCAGUUUUCAGACUUAGUGAAAACUGAGACAUGCUGAAAUUUAACUCACGAAGGCAUGUAAACGAGCUCGAUGCACUCACUACGGUGCAAGUCAUGGCAAGGAAAGCAUAUAACCAGCAAGAAGGCACAAUGUGCUAGCUACACAUGGCAAGAACGAAGGCAUAGCAUGCAUGGAACACUAACGGUAGCAUCGGCAAAAUCGCAAACAAGUUGACGAUCUGCCCAGAUUAACAACGAAGCAAAAGUUGAGCUCGAUUGAGUCAACCUAGAGCACUCCACAUAUGCCAACAAAGACAUGGAUGGAUAGAGCAUAACAUAAAUAUCAAAACUCCCUUACUGAUCAUCCUCAAAAGAGGCACGGAUCACUAGGAAACAAGCUGGACAUAUAGCAUCAUGAACUAAAAUAUCCCAGACUUAGUGAAAAUCACUAAGUCCCUGAAAUCUGCAAUCUCAGGUACCUCUCUUCGCAAGCUUGCACAAGACAACACACACAUCCUAAAAAUGCAUGGGUGGCACCUUUGGAAAGAAGACAAAAUGCUUAACAAUUCAUCCCAAAGGGGCACAGGCAUAUCAUGCACGAAUUAAACAUGGCAAAAAUGACAAAAGUGCAUGAUGAACUAACGGAUCUGCAAUUUAACUUAUGAAGCUUCUUCUAACAGCCUUUUGGGCAUCAAGAUGACCUCAAACGCAAAUUAUGCAAUGGAAUGAAAUGAUGUACAUGUCGAGGCGAAGAUUUUGAUAUAUCAUACGCCCAAAACGGAGCUACGGUUGCGAAGAUACAAGCAGUCAAAGAUAGCACGAAAAUUAGGGUUUCGGGGGAGAGAGGUCAACCGAUGCCCAGAUCCAGAUCUGGAUCGGCACGCUUCCCGAGGCGGCGCCGGAGACACUGUAGCAGCCAGAGGAGCUCGUCGCCGGAGCCGGUGGAGGAGGGGAGGCCGGCGAGGCGGCGGGGAGAAGCCGGGGUGGCGCCGGGGAAGACCGGUGGUGGCGCCCGGCGGNNNNNNNNNNNNNNNNNNNNNNNNNNNNNNNNNNNNNNNNNNNNNNNNNNNNNNNNNNNNNNNNNNNNNNNNNNNNNNNNNNNNNNNNNNNNNNNNNNNNNNNNNNNNNNNNNNNNNNNNNNNNNNNNNNNNNNNNNNNNNNNNNNNNNNNNNNNNNNNNNNNNNNNNNNNNNNNNNNNNNNNNNNNNNNNNNNNNNNNNNNNNNNNNNNNNNNNNNNNNNNNNNNNNNNNNNNNNNNNNNNNNNNNNNNNNNNNNNNNNNNNNNNNNNNNNNNNNNNNNNNNNNNNNNNNNNNNNNNNNNNNNNNNNNNNNNNNNNNNNNNNNNNNNNNNNNNNNNNNNNNNNNNNNNNNNNNNNNNNNNNNNNNNNNNNNNNNNNNNNNNNNNNNNNNNNNNNNNNNNNNNNNNNNNUCGGGGGCCGGCGCUGGGCCUCGGGCCCGCGUCGGUGGCGGCGGCGAACUGGUCCCGCGGGGACACGUGGCGGCGGCGGGUUGGAUGGCGGCGGCGGGCGGACGUUGUCCGAUCGGAUCCGGACACGUCCUUCGGUGGCGGGGUUGAUCUGUUUUUUUUAACUAGGGUUUCGGACGGGGGAAGAAGAGAUCCGAAUGGAGGGGGUAUAAAUAGGCAUAAGUGGAGCUAGGAGAGUCCAAAUGAAGUGCGGUUUUCUCCCUCACGAUCGUGAUCGAACGCUCUAGGACAUGGAGCAGAGUUUGGUGGGUUUCGACCAAAUUUGGAGGGGUGUUGGGCUGCAACACACACGAGGCCUUUUCGGUCCCUCGGUUAACCAUUGGAGUAUCAAACGAAGUCCAAAUGAUACGAAACUUGACAGGCGGUCUACCGGUAGUAAACCAAGGCCGCUUGGCAAGUCUCGGUCCAAUCCGGAAAUGUUUAAUCCCCACACACGAAAGAAAGCUAGAAAUGGCCACCGGAGGAGAACGAAGCGCCGGAAUGCAAAACGGACAACGGGGAAAAUGCUCGAAUGCAUGAGAUGAACAUGUAUGCAAAUGCAAUGCACGUGACGACAUGAUAAGAGAUGCACGAAAAAGAAAAACAACACACGGAGACACAUACCCAAACCCGAGAAAUAAAUAUAACUUAGCGCCGGAGACGGCAAGAGUGGAUACAAAUAUGGAAAGUAUAUCUGGGGCGUUACAGCCACUCGCUGCCGCUGCUACUUGCGGCCGCCUCUGCUGCAUUCUGUCACGCGCUGCUGCUGUUUUCCGCCGCGUACCGCUGAUGCGUGCCGGCGCCGCCAACAGACGGAGAUGGGGAAUUUAUGAAUUUCCUUUUCUUAUCAUUGGUAAUUUUAAUGACACUGGCAUGUGGGCCCUAUGUGUAAAUUAAGAGUCAAACCUACAGUCAAACAAACGGUUCACUUGUGGGUGAUAGCUUUUCAAAAGAUUAAAAAAGUGGUAGUUUUCUUAUAGACAUGGCCUGUAAUGUGGUAGUUUUUUUGCUAUUUACUCCACUUGACUAAGGGUGGAAGGCUUAGGCCUAUGCCCCAGCAUUUUGUUCCACCGUGGUCACCCUAGUUUUUGUAAUACUACUGGCAAUUAUGUUCCUUGAUGAGCGCAUCGAAAUGUGUAUGGGGUUUUAUGCCCCCCUAGAAUCCCUUUAUCUAACAUUGAACUCUUUCAGAAGGCCCAACUUUGGUACUAAAAUUUGCCAACUUAACUAAAAUUUGCAUAGGAGUCAUGAAUGUUAGGAUUCUUUUCGUAACAAGCAGGUGGGCUACUGCUGAGGGUGCUGGUCCAAAAUGGCGGCUUGUACUGCCACCACCUAGAGAACUCGAGGUUUGGCUAUUGUAUCCCUUUCCCAUCCAGCUAGUCUGGAUUUAGAGAUACGUUGGCUCUAAUUCGGGUUUGACUCACUGGAAGGCCUUUCUGGAUUAGUUUUACAUUAGCUAGAGGAACUUGUACUUUGAACUCCUAGAACGAAUCUAGGGUGCCAUGGCCCUGAACUUGGAGGAACGGGUAUGCAUGCAGAACUUAUAAUGAGAAGUUGGAAGCACCCAUGGAGGGUUAAAUGUUUCGAAAAGAUGUGUCCGCGACUAUGGUUACAUGGAAAUUUAUAAUGUCGGUUGAAGAGAACUUCAACUAAUAACUAAAACUUGACAACUAUGUGCAUACCAUGAUUGUCUUUUCUUGUGGGAAUGGAAGCAAGAAGAGGACACAAUGAGGUUUCAUACGUCUCCAAUGUACCUUUGAUCUUUUAUGGUUCCAAGCUAUUAUAUUAUCAAUCUUGGAUGUUUUAUAUGCAUUUAUAUGCUAUUUUAUAUCAUUUUUGGGACUAAUAUAUUAACCUAGUGCCUAGUGCCAGUUGUCGUUUUUGCUUGUUUUUUGGCUUUUUAGAAAAUCAUUAUCAAACGAAGUCCACACGGAAAAACAAUCUUUGGAUUAAUUUUUUGUGGACCAGAACGGACCCUCAAAGCUUCGGGAGGAGACCAGAUGAGACAUGAGAGAGCCACAAGCUCGAGGGGCGUGCCCUAGGGGGUAGGCGCCCCCUGAGCUUGUGGGCCCCACACAGCUCCGUUUGACCCAACUUCGCUUCUAUAAAUUCCCAAAUCUUCCCAAAACAACAGAGAGCCACCCAAAACACGUUUUUCACCGUCGCAAGCUUCUAUUCCUCCGUGAUCCCAUCCAGAGGUGUUUUCUGAUACUCUGCUGGAGGGGGAAUCAAUCUUGGAGGGCGUCUACAUGAUCCUUGCUUCCUUCCGAUGAUGCAUGAGUAGUUCACCAUAGACUUACUGGUCCAUAGCUAGUAGCUAGAAGGCUUCUUCUCUCUCUUUGACCUUCAAUAUAAUGUUCUUCUCGAUGUUCUUGGAGUUCUAUUCGAUGUAAUCUUCUUUUGCAGUGUGUUUGUUGGGAUCCGAUGAAUUGUGGUUUAUGAUCUAAAUAUUCAUGAGAAGUAAUUGAGUCUUUUUUAAACUUUAUUAUGCAUGAAUGUUGUAGCUUUGUAUUUCUCUCCGAUCUAUCCGUUUGGUUUGGCCAACUAGAUUGAUUUAUCUUCAGUGGGAGAGUUGCUUUGUGAUGGGUUCAAUCUUGCGGUGCUCUAUCCCAGUGACAGAAAGGGACAGUGCAUAUUUGUAUUGUUGCUAUUAAGGAUAAAAUGAUCGGGUUUAUUCACAUUAGUUGGGUUUACUUUGUCUACAUCAUGUCAUCUUGCUUAAGGUGUUACUCCAUUUUUCAUGAACUUAAUACCAUAGAUGCAUGCUGGAUAGCGGUCGAUCGGUGGAGUAAUAGUAGUAGAUGCAGGAAGGAGUCGGUCUACUUGUCUCGGACAUCAUGCCUAUAUACAUGAUCAUUGCCUUGGAUAUCGUCAUAAUUAUGCACUUCUCUAUCAAUUGCCUAACAGUAUGUUGUUCACCCACCGUAUGCUAUGUGUUCGAGAUAGAAGCCUCUAAUGAAAACUAUGGCCCCGGGUCUACCUUUAUCAUAUUUGAAAAACCAAAUUACCUUUGCCGCAAAUUUUUAUCUUUUAUUUUGUUUUGCAGUUUACCUAUCUACUAUUACAAGAUUUGAUCCUUGAAAGUAACGAGUUCAAGGGGAUUGAUAACUCUCUUGCCCGCGUUGGGUUCAAGUAUUUGCUUUUAUGUGUGUGCAGGUGUUGUUCACGAGGCUUUGUGUGAUUCUCCUAUUGGUUCGAUAAACCUUGGUUCUCACUAAGGGGAAUACUUAUCUCUACUGUAUUGCAUCUCCCUCCUCCUCAGGGAAAAUUCCAACGCGGCUCACAAGUAGCAAGAAGAAUUUCUGGCGCCGUUGCCGGGGAGACAUCAUCAAAACCUAUCAAGUAUCUAGACAUCAUCUACUUUUUAUUUGCCUUUGCCUCUCAUUUUCAUCUCCCCCACUUCUCAUAAAAAUACAAAAACAUGAAAAUAUUUUUAUUUGCUUGCUUGAAGUUGCUACCGUCUCUAAAUUUGUUAUUGCUAAGGGUUAAAGUGAGGAUAGUAAAACUCCCAAGAUGGAAACCCCCGUAAAAUUGGAUACUAAAACUUUUGUGAUGGGGAGUUGGAAUAUCAUAGGAAAAAUUAUUAUUCAAGAGUUCUUCACUUGUAUGGGAACAUUUGUUUGUAAUGAUAUUCAUGUUCUUAAAAGAACAAUAGUCAUGCCCAAGCUAUUUCUGCACUCAUUACUAAACUUGAAAGAAGAUUCCUGCAUACUCAUCCUACUUUGCAAAUAUUUUUUUGAGCUGCCUGUCAUAAACAAUCCUAAGGGUAAAAAUAUAACCACUCUUAUUCUCAUGAAUGAAUUCGACUACAUAGUGCGACAAACUAGAGAAAUCUUUGACUUUUAUAAUGUGAAUUAUGAAUGUCCUAUGAUAGAUGAAAUUUUAUAUGAUAGAGAUUUCAUGAGGAGAUAUAUGUCUCGUGAUCCUCAUGCUUUUGAGGAAAUGCUAAAAAGAAAGUUCCUCCUUUACAUUUAAUCCAACAAGUGUUUAAUGGCAUUAAUCAACAAUAUUCUUGGAUCAUAAAAAGGGAAUCAACAAGGUUUUGAAGAAGAGUGUCUUGAUAAUGCUAGGAUCUUAAUAGAUGAUGAAUUCACCAUUACUUAUGAAAUGUCCCUUGAGGAUCAUGUCUCCUAAGAAGUUAAAAUUGAUGAUGUGUCGAUUACUAAAGAUAGCCUGAUCCACCAUUUGAGUUAUCCAAAUAGGAAGGCUAUGUAUGAAAAAGGGAGCUUGUGAGAAGUGUUUAUGAUGAUGCUAUGUAUAAGGAGAUUAUGAAAGCUAAGGAUGACAAUACUUGAAACAAUGCUUUACGCCUAGCUAGGGGUGUAAAACAAUCGCGCUUGUUAGGACGCAACCCAAUAGUUAUCUCAUUUCUUGUUUUCUUUUCUGUUUUUGAGUGUUCACACAAGUAUGCUACUUUUAUGAUUGUGUUUUAUGUUUUAAUCAGUGUUUGUGCCAAGUAAAGCCUUUUUGAUGUGACACCAUCUCCGGAGAAGAGGGUGUACAAGGGUAGGUCCGAUCUUCACGGUGUAGGAUCGAUAAUGGAUGGGGAUAACUAGCUGCAAGCAACCGAAAAUAGAAAAUAAGAGAUUAUGACCCAAUGAGGAGGAUGCUCAUCGAAGCCUGCAAUCUGAACAUUCUCCAAUCCACAACCCGCAAUACUACCCCACACAACCAUGCUUAAGUCGUGGAGCACGGGAUAUGUGCAAUCUGCAAGGGAAACCACGAACUAUAACCCACACAACAUGAUCUAGUCAUGGCGCACGAAUUAGGAUCUAUUUCUCAAGGAAUCACGAGAAUAAGGAUAACAAGAGCUCUUCAACCUUAGGAGGAGUCUAUGUCUUUGGUCUUCGAUAGAAAUGGCAAAAGUCCCCAAUGAAGGGAAGAGCUAGCCUAUUUAUAAUCAGGACAACCCCUCUGGAUAGGUGUGAAAGAGAGCCAACUUUGGUUGACUAAAUGGCUUAGAGACUUAGUGAGGUAGCUUCUGGAAAACUCUAGUUGUAGGUGGUUGGCAGCUCCCGACCAAACAUUGUUCACUAGAGUCAAAUAAUGUUUCCUUCAGCAGAAAACUCGAGUUCUGGGAACCUUUCACAACUUGGGAUAUCCAAACUGUUAGAGUUGUAUCGAAUAUUAUUGUACAAGGUAGGUUACAGUUGGACUUGGUUUUGGACUGUGUGUUGACAUGGUAGGAGUUGUGUCCUAAUAGGACACUUUUAUCCUAGGCCUCUCAUAUAUAUCGGGGGUAGACACACGAUGUAACCUAUGCCAACAUAAUAGUAAAGGCACGCGGAGGUGCCGGCGGUGUGUGCCGGCACCUGGGCAGCCAGGGUGCAGUAUUGUAGUGGUAUCAUGGGGAGGAGCGUCCGUAGUCAGGCCCCGGGGAUGUAGCCAUAUCGGUGAACCUCGUUAACAAAUUUUGGUGUCGUGCUCGUGUGAUUGCUUGGUCCUCGAUAGAUCAAUCGUGGCCUCAAAUUUAUUCUAACAAGUGGUAUCAUGAGCAAGGUUCGAUUUGAGGUUGCAUCUAUUGAUCUAGAGGUGGAGAAGAAUUCAUCAAAUUGAUCGGUGGUUGAGCGGUGCGCCAGGAAAGAUCGAUAGAACAUCGGGAGUUCUACUCGUAUCAAAAGUAAUCGGAAGAAGCAGGCGGCAGCUUCAUGAGGCACUCGACGAGAUUGGAUCGUGUUGCACCAGUCACACAUGCAGCCGAAGGCGAGCAGCGGAAGAUCGCGCUUAUGGCGGCAGUUGCAUACAAAUGGAUGGAUAGAUCGAUCAGAAAUGUGAGGCGGCUGAUCUACUCUUUUUUGACGGGUAGGCAGCUGAUGUACUCAGAUGCGACGGUGCAAUACACAUGCCUCGUGGGUUGCAGUUGGUGUUGGGGUCCAAGCGCAAGCAGCUGCUGAGGCGUUCGGGCAGUGGCAUGUGGCCCAACACCGGUAGCCAGGAAGGCCGGUUGAAGGCUCAAGGCCGGACCUAGGACUGGGCCGAGGCAUGCCGGGAAGGUGGACAGGAAAAGAUCCAUGAUCACGUGCAGAAGCUACAGACACAAGUUUUGUUGGAAAAAAGGAAGCGUCUAGACUAGUGAUUGCUAGCGUUGGUUGGUGCUAUUCAUCCUGAGCAAGGAGAGGGAGAGGCAAAGUCAAGCAUACAUGGAGACGUGGUGGAGUUUUGGAUCUCUAUGACCUCGUGCAUAUGGAAAGGCUGCUAGAUGGAUUUCCUCAUUGGCUCCCUUUGCUUGGUACACGUACAGAUUAUUACGGGAUGACAGUGGUUGUACACUGCAAUAAAUAAAGACGCGGAGUCGUAGGUUCAGGUGGAGAUUGCCUGGUUCGAUCAGCUACGUGUAAUCAAGUGUUGCAACGGGACGCAGAUGAUAUUUUUACAUCAGGUGACCAUGAAGUUGGGAUAUUGUCAAUGUCGGCAAAACAGAGAACUUUGGAUAAUGGCAUUUGUGGGUAAAUAAUCUGUUGAAGCAACGAGUAUGCUUGAUGGUGUAGCGGGAUGCCAAGUCAAUCAAGAUGGAUCUGCAGUGAAAGGCGACGCGCAUAUAAGGCUCGACGUAGGAGUCUGGAGCCCGUCGUGGCAAGAUCAUGCAUACACAGGGCGUUAAGCAAGGCAUGGAGAUGUGCGGGCGACACGACGUAGGGUGGAGCAUGGUUGUAGUCGGAUAAUUUUGGUUGGGUCGGACUGGACAGUCUGAUGUACCAACAUUGAUGUUGGUCAAAGCAAAAGACGGCGGUGAUUUCAGCAACGACGACAUAUGAGUGUGAUGCUGAUGGUGACCGACUUCUGGGGCGUGGAAACACGUGGUGCAGGCCUAAGGGUUGUGCGGCUUCGACGAGACUAUGGCGCAGGGUUGAUUCAAGGCAAUGUACACAUGAGAGCUUGAAGUUGACAGGGCUAAGGGUAGCAAGGCGUAGCUACAUGGAGUCAUGUUGAAGGUGAAGCUGGAGUCUGGCAAAAGACUUCGCUCUAAGCUGAUGGAGGGGCUACGUCGUAAGGAUCCAGAGAAUCACAGCCUAUUUCAGUGGGAAGGUGAGAGACACGUGGUUUAGACUGGGUACCAGUGGUCUGAUGGAGACUUCAUACUCGACAUCGAUCGGUGAUGAUCGAUGGUUCUCUGUAGUGGGGGUUGAGGCAGUGGGGGCUAGCUACCCGGGAGACUCGACCGGGAUGGCAGAGGCUCAACGUGGUGAUAGCAGCGAGGUGUGUGGUAAGCACGGGACACAACAACAUGCCAAGGCACUGGUGGUCAGACAUGUGGUCAGACAAAUUGUGCAGGGGGUGCUGAAGCAGUGUUGACGAGUAUCAGAUUCAAGUUGGUGACUAGGUCUAUCGGUGCCUGAAGAUGGACAUGAGUUGACCAUGGAGAAUCUGAGAAAGUGGGGGAGAGUCUGAAAUUGUCAAAAGCUGAGAGAGUACAUGGCUGUAUAUUCUGUGAUGUUUGGUGCACAUGGCAAAGUGCGAAUGACAAAUAUAGAAGGAGGCGGAGUGCUAUAGCUGUGGGACAUGCCAAAGACUAUCCGGGAAAAGGGUGAGACAACUAUGAAUUUGACUCAGGGUGACAUAGGGCGACGAUGAAAUUCCUUCAAGUUUCACACAGACGGUCAAGAAAGAGCAGUGAUGUUGAGUUCAGGUAACUCUUAUAUGUGAUGUCCAAUAUGUGAGUUGUUCACUAUUAUUGGUGUGUGAUGGCAUUGAACGGAUUCUCCGGAAGUUGGGAGCAUAAAGUAGAGUAAUGAGGAACUUAUUUUUGCUCGAGUGUUGACUGUGAAGAAGACGAGAAGGGACUAUAGUUGCAGGUGGAGUCACAUGGAGUCUGGAAGUAGUAGCAGUGCUCAUGGCGUAUCUCAAGUCCAAUGUACAUGGAGGUUUGACGCAUGGAUGAAUCCAAGGUGGUGGAGAAUAUUCACCAAGGUGGAUUUUGUUAGAGUUGUGUCGAAUAUUAUUGUACAAGGUAGGUUACAGUUGGACUUGGUUUUGGACUGUGUGUUGAUAGGGUAGGAGUUGUGUCCUAAUAGGACACUUGUAUCCUAGGUCUCUCAUAUAUAUCGGGGGUAGACACACGAUGUAACAUAUGCCAACAUAAUAGCAAAGGCACGCGGGGGUGCCAGGGUGUGUGCCAGCCCUGGGCGGCAGGGGUGUGUUAUUGUAGCGGUAUCAUGGGGAGGAGUGCCCGUAGUCAGGCCUCGGGGGUGUAGCCAUAUCGGUGAACCUCGUUAACAAAUCUCAGUGUCAUGCUUGUGUGAUUGUUUGGUCCUUGGUAGAUCAACGGUGGCCUCGAAUUUAUUCUAACACUAACUCGUGCAAAACAUUGUUUCGUCAGAAUCGGAACAAUGUUUCUUCAACAGACACUCAUUUCUUCAUGAAUUCCUAACUUUGUUUCUUCGCCAUAAAACAUUGUUUUGCACGGACUAAAAUUUGUUUGGCCUUCUUCCACAUCGCACCUGAGUUCAACCAACAACAAAGGAGGUGAAUACACAACCAUGUUUUCAAGGUCAAAUGAUAGACUUAAGUUAGCGUUCACCUGAUCAUGUAUUUGCAUUGCGCGACUUCUUGUGAUUGGACCAUUGAUGAUUGGUGAUGUGGUGCCCAUGUUUGGGAUGUCCUCAUCAUCCUCCCCCUCUUGAGGAGUCGUCCUCGACUCUAAAGUCCCAAAGUAUGGGGAAAGAUCAAAGACAUUGAAGUUUGGGCUAACACCAUAUUCUUCUGGAAGAUUGAUCUUGUAAGCAUUGGCGUUGAUCCUGUAGAGCACCACAAAUGGUCCAUCACCACGUGGUUGCAACUUGCACUUGUGGUGCUCAGGAAAACGGUCUUUCCGAAGGUGUACCCGUACCAAAUCGCCUUGCUCGAACACCAACUUCUUCCUAGUCUUGUUUACUCGCUUUGUAUAUUGUUCGGUCAUUUUCUCAAUGUUCUCCUUUGCCUAGGCAUGAAGUUUCUUGACGAAAUCAGCACGCUUACUUGCAUUAAGGCUGGUUCGUUCGUGUAGUGCAAAGGUAAAAGAUUGAUGGGAGCAAUAGGUUUGAAUCCAUAAACAAGUUCAAAUGGGCAAACUAUAGUGGUUGAAUGUACUGCCCUGUUAUACGCAAACUCCACAUGAGGUAGGCACUCUUCCCACAAUCUUCAAAUUCUUCUUGAGGACUACUCGUAGCAUCAUGGACAAUGUUCGGUUGACAACUUCAGUCUGUCCAUCAGUUUGUGGGUGGCAUGUCGUGGAAAAUAGGAGCUUGGUGCCAAGUUUUCCCCACAAGGUCUUCCAAAAGUAGCUCACAAAUUUGGUGUCACGAUCUGACACAAUUGUGCGUGGUACUCCAUGUAGCCACACAACUUCCCUGAAAAAUAGAUCAACAAUGUAUGAAGCAUCAUUGCUCUUAUGACAUGGGAUAAAAUGUGCCAUUUUGCUAAAACGCUCAACUACCACAAACACCGAGUCACUCCCCCUCUUAGUCCAUGGUAAACCAAGAACAAUAUCCAUAGAAAUAUAUUCCCACGAAUAUUUGGAAUAGAUAGAGGAGUAUAUAAACCAUGAGGAUUCAAGCGGGACUUAGCUUUGUGACAAAUCUCGCAUCUCAUCACGUAGCGUUCCACGUCACCUCUCAUUCGCGGCCAAAAGAAGUGAUCAACGAGCACACUUUCAGUUUUCUUGGCUCCAAAAUGUCCCAUGAGACCACCAGCAUGAGCCUCCUGCAAGAGCAACAAAUGAACAGAACAAUCUGGGAUGCACAAUUGUUAGCUCGAAAUAGAAAUCCAUCAUGCAAGUGAAACUUCUCCCAUCCCUUUCCCUUGUUGCACUUUGAAAAUGGUUCAGCAAAGUAUGAGUCGUUAGCAUACAAUUCUUUAGUGCUUUCUAAUCCAAGGAUUUUAACAUCAAGUUGGGAAAGUAAAAUGUGACGCCUAGACAAUGCGUCGACAACAACGUUAUCCUUCCCUUCCUUGUACUUGACAAUAUAAGGAAAAGACUCUAUGAACUCACUCCAUUUUGCAUCUCUAUGGUUCUGUUUCAGUUGGCCCUUUAGAUGUUUUAAAGAUUCAUGGUCAAAAUGUAUUACAAACUCUUUUGGCCACAAGUAAUGCUGCCAUGUUUCCAAAGAUCGAACAAGAGCAUACAGUUCUUUAUCAUAGACAGGAUAAUUAAGAGUUGGACCAUUAAGCUUCUCACUAAAAUAGGUGAUGGGUUUACCUACUUGCAUUAGAACUCCACCAAUGCCAACACCACUUGGAUCACACUCAAUCUCAAAUGUCUUACCAAAAUUAGGAAGUGAAAGCAAUGGGGCUGAUGUCAAUCUCAUCUUCAGUUCCUGGAAGGACUUGUCUUGGGCAUCAUCCCAUUGGAAUGGAGUGUCUUUGUUCGUUAAAUCAUUCAUUGGUGCAACAAUUGUGCUGAAAUCCUUCACGAACCGACGGUAGAAACCUACAAGUCCGAGGAAGCUACGUACUUGGCUCACAUUGUGUGGAGGCAUCCACUCACGAAUAGCCUUGAUCUUCUCUUCAUCGACCUCCACACCUUUUGCUGAAACAACAAAGCCAAGAAACACAACCUUGUUUGUGCAAAAUGUGCACUUUUCCACGUUAGCAUACAACUUUUCCUCCCGUAGGACAUCAAGCACACAUUUUAUAUGUCCAACAUGAUCCUCCAAAGUUUUGCUACAAAUCAAUAUGUCAUCAAAGUAAACCACUACAAACUGGCCAAUGGAGGAUCUAAGCACAUGAUUCAUCAAUCUCAUGAAAGUACUAGGUGCAUUUGUUAAUCCAAAAGUCAUAACCAACCAUUCAUACAAGCCAAAUUUUGUCUUAAAUGCAAUUUUCCGUUCGUCACCCUCUUUCAUUCUUAUUUGGUGGUAACCACUUCGCAAAUCAAUUUUGGAAAAUAUGGUGGAGCCACAAAGUUCAUCAAGCAUGUCAUCGAGCCUAGGAAUAGGGUGUCGAUAUCUCACAGUUAUGUUGUUAAUGGAUCUACAAUCAGUGCACAUGUGCAUGGUACCGUCUUUCUUUGGAACUAAAAGAAUGGGAACAACACAAGGAAAAAGACUUUCCCUUACAUACCCUUUGUUAAGAAGAUCUUCUACUUGCCUCUGAAUUUCCUUUGUCUCCUCUGGUUUUGCUCGGUACGGUGGUCGGUUCGGUAGUGAGGCGCCUAGAACCUAGUUGAUUUGGUGCUCAAUGCCCCGCUUCGGUGGCAAACCAGGUGGUACCUCCUUGGGAAACACAUCCUCAUACUCCUACAAAGGAUAAAAAACAACACUAGGAAGAGUCGAGGGUAAGUCGUGAGCAGCCAAUAGAGUUUCCUUGUACAUGAGUAUAAAGAAUGGAGUAUUAGGUUCUCUCAAUUCCCACAUAUCUCUUUUCCUAGCCAUCAUAACUAAUCCCUGUUUUUUCGGGGCUUGGUCAUAUUUGGCUGCCAGCUUUUGGCCGUGGAAACACUCCAUCAAUAUGUUGGUGGCUCACUCUUUGUAUAUGAUCACUCUCUCCCUUUUUCUUUCCUUUUCUUUUCAUCUCAUCAAGAUAGACUUCCUCGGGUGUGAUGGGAAGCCAAGUGAACUUUUCUCCUCUAUGGACAAAACAUAAGUGAUUCGCACGCCCGCUAAUUUGCACAUCACGGUCAUGCAACCAUGGUCAUCCAAGAAGCAAGUGACAAUCGUGCAUCGGCACCACAUCGCACUCAACAUCAUCCUGAUAUGUCCCUACUGAAAUUGGUAUUCGCACGCUGUUAAUCACCUUAAUUGCACCACAAUCAUUCAGCCAUUGCAUGCAGUAUGGAUGUGGGUGACGUUUUGUUUGCAAUUGAAGCUUCUCGACCAUCUCUGUGCUUGCAAUAUUGUUGCAGCUGCCACUAUCAACAAUCACUCGACAUAUCUUUGAGCCACUAAGGCAACGGGUGUGGAAAAGAUUAUGCUGCUACCCCUUUUCCUCCUCCACAACCUGGGCAUUAAGUGAACGACAUACAACCAAAGCUUUACCAUCAAGUUCUUCAUGAGAUAAAAUAUUGCCUCCUACUUCCCAACCUUGCUCCUCUUCCACUUCAUCAUUGCUGCCUUCAGGGUCACUUUCAGACUCCCAUUCACCUCGCUCAUUGAUGAUCAUAGUUAUUUUGCUUGGACAUUCCGAAGAAAUGUGACCUCUUCCUUUGCACUUGUGGCAUCGAAUGUCGUUGCUGCAUGUGGAACUCUUUUCUGGAGGUGGAGCGGAGGAUACUCCUGCUGCAGAUGAUGACUUCUUAUCUUGAUUGUGAAUAGCAGGUGAGGAAGCCGUCGAGGUAUGUGGGUGCCUAGGUGUUGCACCCUCAAAUUGAGAAUCAUAUGGCUAUUGUGUUCGUUGCCAUGAGGGGGUGGUGGUGCGGCCUUGGAAAGCAUGAGAUGACCAUUAUGCAUAUUCUUCUUCUCAACUCAUACAGCUUGAUGUACCACAUAUUGUAAUGUAUCAUAUGAAACAUCUCCACAAAAUCUGAUAUUUCAUCAUUUAGCACAUGUAAAGAUCUCACCAUCUUCGCCUCAUCACUUUCACGGGUUCUUGUCCAAAUUAGCAGCACCUCCAUCUCUUUAUAGUACUCCUCGACAGUGCGGGAACCUUGAGUGAGCCCCUGCAACCGCUUGUACAAUUGCCUCUCAUAGUAUGAUGGAACAAAACGGCACCGCAUGACUUCCUUCAUCAAAGUCCAGCUGCGGAUAUGACUAUUGCCCGACAUCAACCGAUCAUCUUGCAGCUGAUUCCACCAUGUAAGAGUAUAACCAAAGAACUCCAUAACAACAAGAUCAACUCUCUUGGCUUCCGAAAAACCAUGGAUGUGAAAGAUUUGAUCACAUUUCUCCUCCCACUCAAUAUAUAUACCUAGAUCCUCUGUCCCCGUGAAGGAUGGCACAUGUAGCUUCACUCUCGCUUGGUUGUCAUGGUCAUCUUGAUCACGUCGGUCGUAAUGAUGACCAUUGUGGCCAAAAACAGCACCACGGCGAGGCGGGGAGUAGGGUUCAUGGUCCCCCAUGCCUUCAUCUUCGUCACCCUACUCGAAGAGAUCUUCAAGGGAGAUGGCAUCACCAUUAUGUGCCGCUCGUCGCCAGUGAUUAGCGGCAAACCCGCGGGGGUCAUGGCAUCGCUCGCGAGCUUCUCCUCCAUGUAGCCUAGCCUCACAGGGGGCAGCAAAAUUCAACACGCCUCCAUUCAGCACCAACAGCAGGGGCGCCGUGGGUAGAAGCUCCUGCCGCUCUUCCACGACCAUCGUGGUGAUCCUCGUUUCCUUGACCUCGACAUUUGUCGGCGGCCAGCGAGGCAUCGGGGCUAUGUUGAUGUUGAUCCCCAUUACCCGCGAGUCUUCCUUCGAACAUCCUUCACAUAGCUGCAGUUAUACUCUCCUCAAUCAUUUCACCAACUGCUGCGUGAGUUUUUGGGAGAUAAUCAUCCACAUGUUGAUGUCCAUGUACACUUGAGUUGGAUCAUGUCAUGCUAACUCUUCGAAACAAGUGGACGAAAGAAAAAUAUAUGUGGAGAACACUCAGCUCACCUUCUUGCUUACCCAAAUUCUAAUGAUUCAUUGGCGGUUGUGUGAUGACAGCAAAACAUGAGUGGACAGGCGAAUGAAAGGAAGGAAGCUGACGGUUUCUAGGUGGACCUGGGUGGGGUAAAAUGAGGAGGGCUAGUGCUAAGAUCCAAUCGAUGCAAACCAAAUGAACAAGAAAAAUUUGCAGAUCCUUGCACCACGUCUGAGCCGCAACACUUGCCACUACAACUUCUGAAAUUUCUCACCAAACUGAAUAUGAUUGCACACUUUCUCAACACUUCUCUUCUAUUUUUUCUUUGCUCUUUUUUCACUCUUUUUUUGCAUUUUUUGCAACACAAUAGAUCCAACAACAAGACUCAAAGAAAAACAACAUUAACUUUGGAUAGAACUUGGUGCAAACACAAAGAGGAAAGCAAACAACUAGAUCUCAACAAAGAAAGGCUUGGAUUUUUUGUGGCUUUUUGGCUUUGGACUCUAGGAUAGGGAAAACCAAACUAAAAAGGAUAGAUAUAGCAACAAGGAUAUAGAUCCUACUGUGUAAACCUUGCUCUGAAUACCAGAUGAUGUGACACCGUCUCCGGAGAAGAGGGUGUACAAGGAGAGCCCCACGCAGCUCCGGUUGACCUAACUCCACUUCUAUAAAUUGUCAAAUGUUCCCAAAACAACAUAGAGCCACCCGAAACACUUUUUCCGCCGCCGCAAGCUUCUAUUUUUCCGCGAUCCCGUCUGGAGGCCUUUUCCGGUACUCUGUCGGAGGGGGAAUCGAUCACGGAGGGCUUGUACAUCAUCCUUGCUGCCUUCCAAUGAUGCAUGAGUAGAUCAGCACAUGCCUGAUGAGGAUAUAGACCUAGGGUAGGGUCAUAGGCCUAACCUACUUACCCUACCCAAGGUCACUACCCUAGAAGCAAAGAAACUCAAGAGAUAACAGGGAGUACCCAAGGAAGACGUCGAGUGACAUCCACUCGACCAAUCAUAUCACUCGGGUAUCCCAAAUUACCGAAGAUCACUCGACCAUACAAGAAACGACUCGACCUAUCAAGACCAGGAGUCAGAUGGAACUAAAAUGGUCGAACAUUCUGUAGGACCUUGAAGUAUGUCUAGAGGGGGGGUGAUUAGACUACUUGACCAAUUAAAAACUUAACCUUUUCCCAAUUUUAGAGUUUGGCAGAUUUUAGCUAUCUUAGGACAAGUCAAGCAAGCAUCACACAAUUCAAGCAAGCAUGCAAAGAGUAUAUAGGCAGCGGAAAUUAAAGCAUGCAACUUGCAAGAAAGUAAAGGGAAGGGUUUGGAGGAUUCAAACGCAAUUGCAGACACAGAUGUUUUUGGCGUGGUUCCGAUAGGUGGUGCUAUCGUACAUCCACGUUGAUGGAGACUUCAACCCACGAAGGGUAACGGUUGCGCGAGUCCACGGAGGGCUCCACCCACGGAGGGUCCGCGAAGAAGCAACCUUGUCUAUCCCACCAUGGCCGUCGCCCACGAAGGACUUGCCUCACUAGCGGUAGAUCUUCACGAAGUAGGCGAUCUCCUUGCCCUUACAAACUCCUUGGUUCAACUCCACAAUCUUGUCGGAGGCUCCCAAGUGACACCUAGACAGUCUAGGAGACACCACUCUCCAAGAAGUAACAAAUGGUGCGUUGAUGAUGAACUCCUUGCUCUUGUGCUUCAAAUGAUAGUCUCCCCAACACUCAACUCUCUCUCAUAGGAUUUGGAUCUGGUGGAAAGAGGAUUCGAGUGGAAAGCAACUUGGGAAGGCUAGAGAUCAAGAUUCAUAUGGUAGGAAUGGAAUAUCUUGGCCUCAACACAUGAGUAGUUGGUUCUCUCUCAGAAAUGGUAAGUUGGAAGUGUAGGUUUAGUCUGAUGGCUCUCUCCACGAAUGAAGAGGAGGUGGAGGGGUAUAUAUAGCCUCCACACAAAAUCUAACCGUUACACACAAUUUACCAAACUCGGUGGGACCGAUUCAACAGACUCGGUCAGACCGAUUUAGUAAACCUAGUGACCGUUAGUGAUUUUCGGUGGGACUGACAUGCAACUCGGUGAGACCGAUUCGGUUAGGGUUAGGGCAUAACGUAAUCUCGGUAAGACCAAUUACACAAACUCGGUAAGACAUAUUUUGGUAAUAAGCUUUCUAGAGAGUUGGUCAGGUAAACUCAGUGGGACCGAUUUGCUCUUUUCGGUGGGACCGAAAUGUUACAAAAGGGAAACAGAGAGUUUACAUUGCAAUCUCAUCUCGGUGAGACCGAGACCCCUAUCAGUAGGACCGAUUUGCUUAGGGUUUGUGGCAGUGGCUAUGACAUUUGGAAUCGGUGGCGCCGGAUUGGAAGAAUCGGUGUGACCAAUUUUUGCUUUGGGUUUAGGUCAUUUGUGGAUGUGGGAAAGUAGCUGAGGGUUUUGGAGCAUAUCGGAAAGCACAUGAAGCAAGAGGCUCAUUAAGCAACACUUCAUCCCUCCUUGAUAGUAUUGGCUUUUCCUAUAGACUCAAUGUGAUCUUGGAUCACUAAAAUAUAAAAUGAAGAGUCUUGAGCCUUUGAGCUUGAGCCAAUCCUUUGUCCUUAGUAUUUUGAGGGGUCCACUUUCAUCAUCCAUGCCAUGCCAUUCAUUGAGCUUUCCUGAAAUAAUAGUCUUGGAAUAGCAUUAGCUCAAUGAGCUAUAUGUUGUUAUGAAUUACCAAAACCACCUAGGGAUAGUUGCACUUUCAAUCUCCCCCUUUUUGGUACUUUCAAUCUCCCCCUUUUUGGUAAUUGAUGACAACAUAUAGAUCAAAGCUUCGACAAAAGAUAAUAAGAAUAAAAACAUCGUCGCUUUGAGAAGUAUGUGAUAAGCAAGAGCUCCCCCUAAAUUUGUGCAUAGUUUGAAAUUUGCUUUGGACUGCAAAUGCACAAGGAAUUAGGCUCAUGGGUUACUCUUCCAUGUCACAUACAUCUUGGUGGAGCGCUCAAAAUGAUAAGUAUUGAAUACAUGCACUCAUCACCAAGCAAAGUGAAUGAUCACAUAAGAUAGAUAGGAUAAUAUCAUCAAACAUGCAUAAGUGUAGCUUACGAUCAAACACAUGAUCAUCAAUGUCUCACAAGCAUAGUAUCUCAACUAAUCAAAUAGCAAACAAGUUUAAACCAACAAAGCAAGAGAGAACAAGCAACACACUCUCUCUCUCUCUCUCGAAGCCUAUGAUCUAUACAUUUUUCUCCCCCUUUGGCAACAAGUUACCAAAAAGUUCAUAGGAAAUGCAUAGUGCUAGAUCGACUCUCACGCUUGAUCUUCAGUUGGUGGUGUAGAGAUGGCUCCUUGGACGAAGGCUUCAGUUGAUGUAGAGGGUGCUGGAGUUGAUGCUGAAGCUGGUUGCACUGGAGCUGAAGGGGCAGUAGCUGGUGCUGAAGAUGUUGCUCUAGUGUCUGGCAUUGGCACAACAUCUGACCUCUGAGCUCUAGGCACUCUGGCAAAGACAUUUGUGGUUGUCUUGCCGUUCCUCUCCUGCAUGUCAUCCUGCAGUUGCUCCACAACUGACUGAAUCUCAGUUACUUUGACAUCUAGAUCAUAGAAUUUUUGUUCCAUGAUUCUUUCCAAGCUCUCCUGGUUUUGAGUUAAGGUGGCCAACCCCUUCUCAAUCCUCAGUGAUGAUGCUAUCAAGUAACCAAGCUGCUCCUGCUUAUUUUUCAAGAAAUACUCAGAUGCCUCCUCUUGAGUUGGCAUCCUGGCAGCCUUCUCCUUCCUUGCCUUCUCCCUCUUCUCUUGAGCUUGAACUGAUGACAGAUCAUCCUCAUUCAUGACAACCUCAUUGUCUUCAAAGUCUGGAUAGAGUGGAAAAUGUUCCCUAUCCAAUAGAUAUUUGCCAGUUCCCAUCUUUGAGUUGAUCAAUUCCUGAAUCUGAGGGGCAUAUCCACAACUCCUCUUAUGAUCUGCUGCAGUCCUCUUAAUGGUUUCAACUAUAAGGCUCAUAACUUUGAAUUUCUGUGGCACAUCAAAUAAAUGCAACAUAUUGAUGGCAUGCCCUCUGAUCAUGUUGUGGUCACCUGACUUGGGAAACAAAGUGAGCCUCAGAAUCCAAUUGAUAGUAGGCAGCCUUGACAACAGAAAAUGGGCUGAUCCAAAAGAGAAAGUCUCUAGGGCUUUGUCUGGGAUCUCCUUGUACAUGUGUGCCAUGGUAUUGUGUCCCAUUUUCUUCUUGGCAUAUACAUCCAGAUCAUCAUCAUUUUCCUUUGGGGCAUUUAUCAGUUUUGCCCAUUCUUCAAUAGUGGAUUGGUACCUUGUACCUUCAGACAUCCAAACAAUUCUUCCAUCUAGGUAAAAAUGUGAUGUGGAGUAGAAUUGCAUGAUAAGUUCAUCAUUCCAGUUUGUGAGCUUUUGCCCAACAAAAUCUGCAACUCCACAAGCAACAAAGCUGUCUUGCACUCCAGGAUAGUGCUCUUCAUUCUCCUUCAUGUAGGUCCAGUCGACCCACCUCAUAUCACAAACUAUGGGCUUCUUGUCCAAUAAGAUUGUCUCAUAGAAGUCCUGAUGUUCCUUUGUAUGGAACCUGUAAUCAACAGCAGUUCUUCCCCUUGUGGCAUAUGGAUCUGCCAUCCUCCAUAGCCUCAAUCCUGAGUCUUUUCUGAUGUUCAUGUCCUCAGCCAUAGGAUGGGCAUCAUUGUGAUCUGGUAUCUUAGGCUUGAGCUUCCUUAGAACCUGUCCUUGUUCAUCUUCCUCCUCAACAACCUCAGGCAUUGGGGCGUUGUUCUUCUCAGCAGCUGGAAUACUCCUGGUAUUCCUCUUUGGUGCAGACUUGGCCUUGGGGGCAGCUUUGGGUGCUUCCUUGGGCUUAGAUGUUGCAGCCCCAGAUUUAAUAGCAUCACCCAUAAGCUUUGGUGCCUUUGGUUCUGGUGCAGUAAGCUCUUCCUCUUCCAUCAUGGAAGGUUGCCCAACAACUCUGGCCAUGGUCUUCUUGACCCUUUCUUUCCUUUGCCUGGUAGCAGCCUUAGGCAGGUUGCUAGGAGUGCUUCUGCUUCCUUCAUCUAAAGUGCUGGAGGGACUGUGCCCUCACUCAAGUGAAUCUGCUCUGCUGACCUGUUCUGACUGUCACUCUGGUCUGACAUGCUGCAAAAGCUGACUGCUAACCCUGUGAAGAGUUAUAGAUGAGAUAGAGUGGAUGAGCAUCACAAAAUGCAGAGAUUUUUCAAAAGAAUGAUUCAAAAAUUCAGUUUUAGUUUUCCACAGAAAGCAUUUCGGAUCAACCGAUUUUCAAACUCGGUGAUACUGAAGCAGUUUUUGGAACCUAAACUGAUGAUCUCGGUUGGACCGAGUCAUAGUUCGAUGGCACCGAGACUGCUAGGGUUUCACAGAAUCCUAAAAUCGGUCGCACCGAUUAGUAAUUUUUGGUCAGACCGAGAGUCACUAGUGCAAUGGCAUAUGCCAAAUCGGUGAGACCGAGUUUUUCAACUAGGUGGGUCCGAGAUGGUUUCGGCGGAAACCUAACCCUAAAAAUUUGAAUCUAAUCUACUCUACGGACUACUUUGGCUGGAUAGGAUUGUUUCAAUCGUGGCAAGAAUCAGUAAGAGUACAAUGUGCUAGGAAUCAGAUGUGAAUAGCACAAAGAUCGAGUCCAUAGCCUAGUGCGGCGAUGAACUCGCUACGGCGGCAACGGUGGGGUUGAAUUCCGUUGAUGGCGAUGGAGACCAGCGACAGGAGGCGGCUGGUGAUGAGGAGACGAUCCAGAGACCUUCGAUGGCAGAGCGAGCUAUUGCGCGGGCGAAGGGGUUCGGAGAAAUUUCCAAAAUUUUGCCCGUGUCUAUAUAUAGCCCGACCCUGUCGGUGUGACCGAGUGGAACAACUCGGUGGCACCUAGAUGCAUAACUGUGUUCAGUUAUAGCAACUCGGUGUGACCAAAAAGUUCAAAUCGGUUGCACCAAGAUUGAAAACUCAGAUCAACUUAAUGAUCUCGGUAGGACCGAAAUGGAGGAAUCAGUCAGACCGAGAAUCACAAAGAGGUUUUGGAAGUUUAAGUCUAUGACGAAUCGGGGACUCCGAGUGCUCCUCACACAGAGUGGUUCGAAACUGACUUGAUCAAAUUUUGUGAUGUAGCAUGAAUAGAGUUUGAGACGAGAAAAGCAUAGAUAGCUAGAGAGGGUUCUUAGGCAUCCUUGUCCAUCCACUUGGCCAAAAUAAGAAUGAACCAAACAAUCAAAACAACAAGUGGAUGUCCUUGAAUGAGUAAAAUAUGCACCAACAUGCUCACACAAUAAAAUGGCAAAUGAAAUAUGUGGCAAAGCAUGCACAACCAAUUCUAGCAUCUAUCAAACAAUUGGCGAUGACUAGGUCAUCUAUAUAUGAGUAUAUUGACUUAGGAGUCAAAUGAGAACAUUUGAUCAUAGGUCAUACUCAUCGUUUAAGCUCAAGUGGGGUUGCCACUUUUACAUAAUGCAUUGUUGUGUUCACACCAUUAGAGUUGCUUUAACUCAAUUCUUAGAGUAAAGCUCCCCCUAGAUGUGAGAUCCCCCCUUAGAGGGAUGAACUAACAUUGGGUUUUGUCGAUGAUGACUUCAUGUAGGUGUUGAAGAUGUGGAUGCUCAAUGUUGAAGUAGAUCAUUUGGAGCAAUCCUUUGGAGUGAGUUGCACUUUCAGCUUGCCUACAUGGAUUAGUCCCACAAGGAACAAACAAGAAUAUCCAUAGACAUAGAGUGAUGCACACACAAGAUGAUGUCCAUGAAACCAUUAGGUUACCUUGUCCCUUGCCUUACCAACAUGAGGGUUUGUGACUCCUUGAACUAGUGCAAGAUGUGGAAGUUGACUGCACUUGUCCUUGCCAUAAAGAUAUGAGUGAAGAAUGUUGGUGGAGUCACCCUCAAGAACUCUCUAGUUCUUCUUCUUCGGGAUCCACAUCAUCUUGAUGGGAAUCCUUGGAGUUGUAGUUGUACUUGAUGAAGUAGAACUUGACGUAGUCUUGGGAAUCCAAUUGACCGAGACCUUAGGUGCUUCUUCAAAUGCAUCAAUCUCUUCUUGAAGCUUAUCCUUGCCUUUGUUCUUGUGGUCUUGUGGAGGAAGAUCAUCUUGAGCUUGUGUUCCCUUGAAGGAAGUAGGAUCAUACUUCUCUUGUUGAGGAACAAACUUCGUCUUGGGGUAUUGAUCUUCUUCCCACUCAACUCCAUUGGCAUUGAACUUUCGUUCAAAACCAACACCUUGAUUCUUCCGGUGUCUUCCUUGCUUGCGUACAAUUUCCUCGAAUUGCUUACUCCCGGCAAGGCUCUUGUAAACACCUUUCUCUAUAAUUCCCUUCAAUAAGCUAUUUUCUUGCUCAAGUGUAACUUGGCUAAGAGAAUCAUUAGUGGAAUCAAGAGAACUACUAGAAGCAACAAUAGUGGAUUUAACAUUAUUAUUGUUACUACUAGAGGAAGAAUCUUUCUUGUACUUGUUACCAGACUUGACUUGAGGCAUGUAAGUAGAUAAGAGUAAACGCUUGGCAAUGUAAGAAGAACUUUUCUUACGGAGAUCAUCAUUGAUUGCCUUUAAGAACUCAUGCUCUUGCUCAAGAUUCAGCUUUUCAAAGCGUAACUUCUCAUGAGCCCUUAAAAGUUCUCGAUGAUCUUCGAAGAUAGUUUCAUGAGCCAACUUUAGAGUGUUUAGUUCUUUAGUUAGAAGCUCAAUUUUCUCCUUAUCAUUGUCAUUCGUUUGAUUAGCAUGAUUAAUUGACGUUUCAUCAUAGUAUUCAUCACUAGAGUUGUCAAUAAGUAAAUCAUCAUCCACAAGCAAGUCAUCUUCAUCACUAUUGAAAUCAACAUACUCAGGAUGUGUUACCUUUGGACCUUUGGCCAUGAAGCAUCUUCCAAUUCCUUCAUUUGGUGAAUCAAAUAUGUCGUAGGAGUUGGUUGACACAAGUGCUAGACCGGCAACACCUUCAUCUUGAGUAUGUUCAGAGUCGGAGUGAUAGCUUCUCUCGGAGUGAUUGUCGGAGUCGGAGCCGGAUACCCAUUCACCAACAUGAGCUUGAUGUCUGUAUAUCUCUUUGAUGACUUGUCCUUCCUUUCCGAAUCCUUGCUUCUCCGUGAGGGUCUUCGUUCAUAACGAUCAUCUCUACUCCUCCUCUCUCUUGGCGGUGAUUCUUCUCUUUUGCUUCUUCUUUUUGGAGAGUCUUCUCUUCUUUUGUAGGGUGCCGUACACUCAUUGGAGUAGUGUCCAGGCCUCCCACAAUUGUAGCAAUUGCGCUCUCGACUAGAAGAUCGUUUGUCAUGAUAAGACCUUGACUUGGAGCUUCUUUCUUUGCUUCUACUCUUGUAGAAUUUGUUGAAGUUCUUCACCAUUAAGCUCAAUUCUUCAUUGAAGGUUUGUUUCUCACUUGAUGAUGUGGGGGCUUCACUUGAGGCUUUGUAAGCACCACUUGACUUGUUGUGAAGUUCCUCCUUAUCCUUGAGUGACAUCUCAUGAGCAACAAUUCUUCCAAUGACUUCCGUUGGCUUGAGAUUUUUGUAGUUUGGCAUCAUUUGGAUCAAUGUGCACACGGUAUCAUACUUUCCAUCCAAUGCCCUUAGGAUCUUCUUGAGGAUGAGUCUUUCGAUCAUCUCUUCACUCCCUAAGCCGGCAAUCUCAUUUGUGAUAAGUGCAAGCCUAGAGUACAUUUCAGCGACACCUUCACCAUCCUUCAUUUUGAACUUAUCAAGCUGACUUUGGAGCACAUCCAACUUGGAUUCCUUGACAGAUUCGGUACCUUCGUGCAUAUCAAUCAAAGUAUUCCAAAUUUCCUUUGCAUUCUCAAGACGGCUGAUUUUGUUGAAUUCUUCGGGGCACAAUCUAUUGAAGAUGAUAUCACAAGCUUGAGCGUUGUAUUGCAGCAUCUUCAAUUCUUCCGCAUUCGCUUCACGGUUCGGUUCUCUCCCAUCAAAGAAUUCACCUUGCAAGCCAAUACAAAUAAUUGCCCAAAUAGCGGGGUUAUGUCCGAGAAUAUGCAUUUUCAUCUUUUGCUUCCAACUAGCAAAAUUAUUACCAUCAAAGUAAGGACCUCUAUGGUGAUAAUUUCCCUCGCUAGACGCCAUACUCUCCUAGGUUGUGAAACCAAGGCUAUGACCACCAAAAGCUAUGGAAAUGAAAGCAAAGGAAGACCAAAGCUCUGAUACCACUUGUAGGACCUUGAAGUAUGUCUAGAGGAGGGGUGAUUAGACUACUUGACCAAUUAAAAACUUAACCUUUUCCCAAGUUUAGAGUUUGGCAGAUUUUAGCUAUCUUAGGACAAAUCAAGCAAUCAUCACACAAUUCAAGCAAGCAUGCAAAGAGUAUAUAGGCAGCGGAAUUAAAGCAUGCAACUUGCAAGAAAGUAAAGGGAAGGGUUUGGAGGAUUCAAACGCAAUUGGAGACACGGAUGUUUUUGGCGUGGUUCCGAUAGGUGGUGCUAUCGUACAUCCACAUUGAUGGAGACUUCAACCCACGAAGGGUAAUAGUUGCGCAAGUCCACGGAGGGCUCCACCCACGGAGGGUCCACGAAGAAGCAACCUUGUCUAUCCCACCAUGGCCAUCGCCCACGAAGGACUUGCCUCACUAGCGGUAGAUCUUCACGAAGUAGGCGAUCUCCUUGCCCUUACAAACUCCUUGGUUCAACUCCACAAUCUUGUCGGAGGCUCCCAAGUGACACCUAGCCAAUCUAGGAGACACCACUCUCCAAGAAGUAACAAAUGGUGCAUUGAUGAUGAACUCCUUGCUCUUGUGCUUCAAAUGAUAGUCUCCCCAACACUCAACUCUCUCUCAUAGGAUUUGGAUCUGGUGGAAAGAGGAUUUGAGUGGAAAGCAACUUGGGAAGGCUAGAGAUCAAGAUUCAUAUGGUAGGAAUGGAAUAUCUUGGCCUCAACACAUGAGUAGGUGGUUCUCUCUCAGAAAUGGUAAGUUGGAAGUGUAGGUUUAGUCUGAUGGCUCUCUCCACGAAUGAAGAGGAGGUGGAGGGGUAUAUAUAGCCUCCACACAAAAUCUAACCGUUACACACAAUUUACCAAACUCGGUGGGACCGAUUCAACAGACUCAAUCGGACCGAUUUAGUAAACCUAGUGUCCGUUAGUGAUUAUCGGUGGGACUGACAUGCAACUCGGUGAGACCGAUUCGGUUAGGGUUAGGGCAUAAGGUAAUCUCGGUAAGACCGAUUACACAAACUCGAUAAGAGCAAUUUUGGUAAUAAGCUUUCUAGAGAGUUGGUCAGGUGAACUCGGUGGGACCGAUUUCCUCUUUUCGGUGAGACCGAAAUGUUACAAAAGGGAAACAGAGAGUUUACAUUGCAACCUCAUCUCGGUGAGACCGAGAUCCCUAUCGGUAGGACCGAUUUGCUUAGGGUUUGUGGCAGUGGCUAUGACAUUUGGAAUUGGUGGCGCCGGAUUGGAAGAAUCGGUGUGACCGAUUUUGGCUUUGGGUUUAGGUCAUUUGUGGAUGUGGGAAAGUAGCUGAGGGUUUUGGAGCAUAUCACAAAGCACAUGAAGCAAGAGGCUCAUUAAGCAACACCUCAUCCCUCCUUGAUAGUAUUGGCUUUUCCUAUAGACUCAAUGUGAUCUUGGAUCACUAAAAUAUAAAAUGAAGAGUCUUGAGCCUUUGAGCUUGAGCCAAUCCUUUGUCCUUAGUAUUUUGAGGGAUCCACUUUCAUCAUCCAUGCCAUGCCAUUCAUUGAGCUUUCCUGAAAUAAUAGUCUUGGAAUAGCAUUAGCUCAAUGAGCUAUAUGUUGUUAUGAAUUACCAAAACCACCUAGGGAUAGUUGCACUUUCACAUUCACUCUGUAGUCUUCAUGACCAUUAAUGACACCUGAAAGCCGGAGUUAUCAGUAACGCUCCUCUUUUAUGUACAUUCAACCCUCUGUAACAGAGGAUGGCUGGGGUCCUGGCGAACUCUAUAUAAGCCACCCCCUCCUCUGGGACAAGGGUUCGCACCCCCUGUAACAUCACACACAUAUAAUCCAAUCGACUGCCUCCGGGCACCGAGACGUAGGGCUUUUACUUCCACCGCGAAGGGCCUGAACUCGUAAACCUUAUGUGUACAACUUCAUCAUAGCUGAGAUCUUGCCUCUCCAUACCUACCCCCCUUUCUAUUGUCAGUCUUAGGACCACGACAGUUGGCGCCCAUUGUGGGGCAGGUGUCUUAGCGACUUGAUUGGUGAAGUUGCGAUUUUUCCGAUCCCCAUCAUCAUGGUUUCCGGCGGUGGAUUAGCUGAGGGCCGCGAGAUCCGUCUCGGCGCACUCGUUUUCAUCGCCGACGACUCCGCCUGGCUUCAGGAAGCUCCCCUUGACAUCGAGGCGCUCCCCGUCUGAGGGGCUACACACUUCCGCGCAUGCGUACGCGACGUCCUUCUGCGGCAACCGUCGACCUAGUAUCGGUCAGCUCCCAUGGUGUCUUCUCUCCCUGAUGUCCGCCGCUGCAAGCGAUCCAGUCAGUCACGGCUUCAAUGACGGGUGAAACAUGUGGUGGCUCGUCGUUCGGCCACGCAUCAAGUCGCAGCAAUCGAGCCCGAUGAAACUCUCUAUGGCCUGUUCGAUCUGUCGACUGGGUCCGUCGAGAGCGCAUUCGAGUGCGAUAGCAGCGACCCUGCGGCCGAAGUUUUAAUGGUCGACGGACCGCAUAGUCCGCCUGGCUUCCGCCGCGAUGAUGGUGGUAAUGGUGGUGGCGAUCUGCCACGCGUUCACGAGGAGUAUCGUCCCGAACCCCUCUCUUCGUAGUAGAGCGAAGAACUUCGUCGCUGCAACAUGGAUGCACUUCACACGCCAAUCAUUGGGGAAACCCCCAAGGCUCGGGCCUUGGAAGAGGUGCGCCUAGCCAAUUUGGUCGAGCGUACUCGACUGGAGAACCUUCAGGAUGCACUCGACGAGCGCGCUCGGGAGCGGAUCCCCAAGUUCAGUCGACGACAACUUUUUCCGCCUCCACCUAAGGUAUACUGCACUCUGAUUCAAAAUCUCACUGUUGCGGCCCGUAUAGCGGAGUCAAUUCAGCCUUCCCAGUCGAAAGCUGGAAGAGGUUUGAUGCAGAUCCGGGCCUUACUUCGGGCAGCAGGGUAACAGAACACAGCAGUGUCCCAGUCACGGGACAUGAUUCAUAGCAGGUCCGUCGUGGUGGAUAUAGUUCAGUCGGCCCAUAGCCUAAGAUCGCCUCUGCGGCAUGGAGGUCGUGGGCAUCAGUAGGAUCAGUACAGGAACCAUGGGCAAUACAAUCACCGACUCGGCCGUAACGUUGUCGUCGGCUGCCCAUGCCUCCUCCGAGGAGUGGGUCAUAUGUGCCUCGGCAAUACGAUGACAGACGCCUACAUAGUGGCGAGCGCAGAGUAUCGGUCGACCCAAGAGAGCCAGGCUUUGACGCGAGAUCUAUUCUCGUUCAAGGCCUAGUCGAUCGGAACAGAGCGCACAGAGAAGACCCUCACAGAGAUCGUCCGACUGGCAGCAGAGUUCACGUUUCGGGUCCAGAAUGUUUCAGUGAGCCAUCAGAGCAACAGUGAUUCUCCCAACUUCAGGUUGGCGACUGGAGUCAGCAAGUUCACUGGAGAGUCCAAGCCUGAAACUUGGCUUGAGGAUUACCGAGUGGCUGUGCAGAUUGGUGGCAGAAAUGAUGAAGUGGCCAUGAAACAUCUUCCUCUGAUGUUGGAAGGAUCAGCCAGAGCGUGGUUGACUCAGUUAGCGCCUGGCAGUAUAUUCAGUUGGGAGGAGCUUGCCCGAGUGUUUGUCAGAACUUUCAUGGGAACUUGCAAGCGGCCAGCACGAUUAAUAGAGUUGCAGCAUUGUGUACAUAAACCGAGUGAGACUCUAAGGGAUUACAUUCAGAGGUGGACCACUUUGCAUCACACGAUGGAGAAUGUAUUUGAGCACCAAGCAGUGUGCGCCUUCAAGGAAGGCGUUAAAUAUUGGGAGCUAGUCCUGAAGUUCGGUUGGACUGGAGAUAUGUCCCUGAGUCAGAUGAUGGAAAUAGUCACCCGGUACUCUAACGGUGAAGAAGAGGAUCGACUCCAUAGUGGAAAGGUAAAACCAGUCGGCCAGGAUGCCGACGGAGGUAAUUCCAAUCGGAAACAGAAACGUAAGGCGGGACCUGCAGCGCCUGGUGAAAUUGCAGCAGUAGUUCAAGGAAAGUUUAAAGGAAAACCUAAAGGGCCCUGGACCCCUAGAAAGGCAAAAGAUCAAGCGGGCAAUGAUGUGUUGGAUUUACCAUGUCAUAUUCAUACAAAGAAGAACAAAGAGGGCAAUCUAAUUUAUCCUAAGCACACCACUCGGCAAUGUCGACUCCUGAUCCAGCAAUUCCAAGAGAAUCAUCCUAGCGAGAAGGAAAAGGAGUCAGACAAGGACGAGGACGACGAGGAAGAUGAUGGUUAUCCUAAGGUUAAUUCCACCCUGGUGAUUUUUGUUGAUGUUGAGAGCAAAAGUCGAUUGAAAGUUAUCAACAGAGAAGUAAAUAUGGUUGCUCCGGCAACGACGACCACAUACCUGAAAUGGUCACAAACAACCAUCACAUUCGACCAGUCUGAUCACCCAGCACGUAUGGCCACCCUUGGGAGGCAAGCGUUGGUGGUCGACCCAGUGGUUGAAGGCACUCGUCUGACCAAAGAGCUUAUGGAUGGUGGUAGCCGCCUGAAUAUCCUUUAUGCUGAAACAUUGAAGGGGAUGGGCAUUCCGAUGUCCAAGCUUAGCAAAAGCAAUAUGAGUUUCCACGGCGUUAUCCCUAGAAAGAAAGCCGAAUCACUUGGCCAAUCGCCCUUGAUGUGGUUUUUGGUGAUUCCAAGAAUUAUCGCAAGGAGAAGUUGACAUUUGAAGUAGUGGACUUCCAGAGUGCUUAUCACGCUAUUUUGGGUCGGCCUGCUUAUGCACGUUUUAUGGCUCGACCAUGUUACGUGUACCUCAAACUGAAGAUGCCUGGCCACAGAGGAGUGAUCACAAUCACUAGUAAUCGGCAGAAGGCAGAAGAAUGCUUCCAGAAGGGUUCUAAAAUUGCCGAUGCACAAAUGGCAACAGUUGAACUCAAAGAAUAUCAGAAGAAUGCAGACCCGAGUGAUUUGCUCCGAGCCAAGAAGCCUGACAUAGAUUCUGCAUUUCAGUCGUCUGGAGAAACGAAGCCGAUUCAUAUUCACCCAACCAAUCCCGAUGCUGCAUUGACUCAUAUCUCAACAACACUCGACAACAAAUAGGAAGAAGCGCUCAUCCAAUUCCUUCAUGAGAACUGGGACAUCUUCGUAUGGAAACCUUCUGACAUGCCGGGUGUACCCAGGGGACUGGCUGAGCAUCAUUUGCGUGUCGAUCCAAAGGCAAAACCCGACAAAGAGCACCUUCGGUGGUCCACUGUGCAGAAGAGAAAGGCAAUUGGCGAGGAAGUGGCUCGGCUCCUAGCGGCGGAGUUCAUCCGAGAGAUCUACCACUCCGAGUGGCUUGCCAAUGUAGUCAUGGUCCCCAAGAAGGAUGAUUCACUUCGUAUGUGCAUCGAUUUCAAGCAUAUCAAUUGGGCCUGCCUGAAGGAUCAUUUCCCUCUCCCCCGCAUCGAUCAGAUUGUCGACUCGACUGCGGGGUGUGAGCGCUUGUCUUUUCUAGAUGCAUAUUUCGGGUAUCAUUAGAUCCGACUGUAUGGUCCCGAUGAAAUAAAAAUGGCUUUCAUCACCCCAUUCGGGUGCUUUUGCUAUAUCACCAUGCCAUUUGGUCUCAAAAAUGCUGGCGCCACAUUCAUGAGGAUGAUUCAGAAGUGCCUGCUCACUCAAAUCAGUCGAAAUGUGGAGGCAUAUAUGGAUGACAUUGUGGUUAAGUCGCGUAAAGGUUCCGACCUACUGACCGACCUCGUAGAAACCUUUGCCAACCUAAGAAGGUAUGAUAUCAAGCUUAAUCCGUCAAAGUGCACAUUCGGAGUCCUAGGUGGAAAGCUGCUCGGUUUCCUUGUUUCUGAAUGAGGGAUCGACGCGAACCCAGAGAAAGUCGGCGCCAUCCUCCGGAUGAAACGCCCUGUGCGUGUGCACAAUGUUUAGAAUCUUACUGGUUGUCUGGCCUCCUUGAGUCAAUUCAUUUCUCAUCUCGGUGAAAAGGCCUUACCUCUUUAUCGAUUGAUGAAGAAAUAUGAUAAAUUCGAGUGGACUGAUGAAGCUGACGCAGCGUUCGUAGAGCUCAAAGCCCUGCUUUCCACCCAGACGGUGCUUGCUGCACCAAUCAGCAAAGAACCUUUACUGCUUUACAUUGCAGCCACUGGACAAGUUGUCAGUACAGUCUCACGGUCGAGUGGGAGGAAAAAGGAAAAAUCUAUAAAGUUCAGCGCCCGGUAUAUUAUCUUUCUGAAGUUUUGACUCCAUCCAAGCAGAGAUAUCUGCAUUAUCAAAAGCUUAUUUAUGGAAUCUACAUGACCAUGAAGAAGGUUGCACACUAUUUCUCUAAUCACUCCAUUACAGUUGUCAGUGACGCCCCAUUAUCAGAAAUUCUAAACAAUAGAGAUGCAAUUGGUCGAGUGGCAAAAUGGGCGAUUGAACUCCUUCCAUUGGAUAUCAAGUUUGAGGCAAAGAAAGCUAUCAAAUCCCAAGCAAUUGCAAUUUCCUUGCCGAGUGGAUCGAGCAACAGCUGCCGACUCAAGUUCACUCGUUGCAUUGGACCAUGUUCUUUGAUGGCUCCAAGAUGUUGAAUGGUUUCGAUGCAGGGGUAGUAUUGGUAUCCCCCCGUGGAGACAAGAUCAGCUACGUUCUCCAGAUUCAUUUUGAUUCCUCCAACAAUGAAGCUGAAUAUGAAGUGCUUUUGUAUGGGUUGCGUAUGGACAUUUCACUCGGCGUCCGUUGCCUCAUGGUCUAUGGUGAUUCGGAUUUGGUGGCCAAUCAAGUUAUGAAAGAGUGGGAUGUCAGGAGUCCGGCUAUGACUGGUUAUUGCAACGCAGUAAGGAAGUUGGAAAAGAAGUUUGAGGGGUUAGAGCUUCACCAUAUACCCUGACUGAAAAACCAAGCUGCAGACGAAUUGGCAAAGAUAGGAUCCAAGAGAGAAACCAUUCCUAGCAAUGUGUCUUUGGAACAUAUUCACUCGCCUUCAGUUCAGGAAGAUCCUUUCAAUGAAGAGCCCCCACAGCCUAAGAGUGCCAUAGAUCCGACUGAAGUCGAAGUCCCAGCAGUGGUCGACUUGAUCAUGGAGGUUUUGGUCAUCACUCCCGACUGGACGGUGCCAUACAUUGCGUACAUUCUUAGGAAAGAACUUCUAGAGGAUGAAGAAGAGGCUCGACAGAUCGUCCGACGAUCCAAAGCCUUUACUAUGAUAAGAGGACAGUUGUUCAGAGAAAGUGUAACUAGAGUCAGCCAGAAGUGCAUCAUGCCAGAAGAAGGUCGAAUGAUCCUCAAUGAUAUUCACUCGGGGACCUGUGGUCACCAUGCGUCCUCUCGGACCAUCAUGGCCAAAGCAUACCGAGCCGGAUUUUACUGGCCACAUGCCAACGAGAUGGCGAAAGAAAUAGUAGAUAAAUGCGAAGGCUGUCAGUUUUACUCCAACAUGUCCCAUAAACCUGCGUCAGCCCUGAAGACUACUCCGCUCGUCUGGCCUUUUGUUGUCUGGGGGUUGGAUAUGGUUGGACCUUUAAGGACUGGAAGGAGUGGCUUUACCCAUGUGCUCGUUGCAGUCGACAAGUUCACUAAAUGGAUUGAAGCCAAGCCCAUCAAAAACCUUGAAGCGAGUACAAAUGUUAGUUUCAUCAGAGAAUUAACAUUUAGAUAUGGUGUUCCACACAGCAUCAUCACUGACAAUGGGUCAAACUUCGAUUCUGACGAGUUCAAAGCUUUUUGUGCUUCCCAAGGCAGUAGGGUCGACUAUGCUUCGGUCGCCCAUCCUCAGUCGAAUGGACAGGCUGAAAGAGCAAAUGGAUUGAUUCUCAAAGGACUAAAACCAAGAUUGAUGCGUGACCUCAAGCAUGCAGCAGGCGCCUGGGUCGAUGAACUUCCAUCGGUACUUUGGGGAUUGAGGACGACUCCUAAUCGGUCGACUGGUCGAACUCCCUUUUUCUUAGUCUAUGGAGCUGAAGCUGUACUCCUGAGUGAUUUGCUUCACAAUGCACCCCGAAUCGAACUUUUCUCAGAAGAUGAAGCAGAACAGGCUCGUCAAGAUGCAGUCGAUCUCCUAGAAGAGGAAAGAGAGAUGGCUUUGAUCCGGUCGACAAUUUAUCAGCAAGACCUGCGUCGAUUCCACGCCAGAAACAUGAGGGGUCGAGCAUUUCAGGAGGGAGACUUGGUCCUUCGGGUGGACCAGCAGAAACCACACAAACUCGCUCCUGCUUGGGAAGGCCCCUUCAUCGUCACCAAAGUGCUCCACAACGGAGCAUAGCAUCUUUACAACGUCAAGCACCAUAAAGAUGAGCCACACGCUUGGAAUGCGGAGCUGCUCCACCCCUUUUACACUUAAGCAUUCAGACUGUUAAGAUGUAAUAAGAGAUACCUUCUAGUUUGAUUAUAAAAGAUUUUACAGUCUCCUGAAUGAUUGUUGUUCCUUUCUUACAUGUUCUGAAUCCCCCAGUGGGUGACUUAGCUGCAAAUCCGUUUCGCCUAAGUUUAGAAAAAUCCUACCGAGUGGUGAGCAAGCCUCUCACUCGGGGGCUUAGCUGCGAAUCCGUUUUGCCUAAGUUUGGAAAAAUCCUACCGAGUGGUGAGCAAGCCUCUCACUCGGGGGCUUAGCUGCGAAUCCUUUUCGCCUAAGUUUAAAAAAUCCUACCGAGUGGUGAGCAAUCCUCUCACUCGGGGGCUUAGCUGCAGUCCAGUACUUGUCUAAGUUUGAAAAAUCCUACCGAGUGGUGAGCAACCCUCUCACUCGGAGGCUUAGUUGCAGUCCAGUACUUGAUUAAGUUUGAAAACUCCUAGCGAGUGGUGAGCAACCCUCUCACUCGGGGGCUUAGCUGCAGUCUAGNNNNNNNNNNNNNNNNNNNNNNNNNNNNNNNNNNNNNNNNNNNNNNNNNNNNNNNNNNNNNNNNNNNNNNNNNNNNNNNNNNNNNNNNNNNNNNNNNNNNNNNNNNNNNNNNNNNNNNNNNNNNNNNNNNNNNNNNNNNNNNNNNNNNNNNNNNNNNNNNNNNNNNNNNNNNNNNNNNNNNNNNNNNNNNNNNNNNNNNNNNNNNNNNNNNNNNNNNNNNNNNNNNNNNNNNNNNNNNNNNNNNNNNNNNNNNNNNNNNNNNNNNNNNNNNNNNNNNNNNNNNNNNNNNNNNNNNNNNNNNNNNNNNNNNNNNNNNNNNNNNNNNNNNNNNNNNNNNNNNNNNNNNNNNNNNNNNNNNNNNNNNNNNNNNNNNNNNNNNNNNNNNNNUUUGAAAAAUCCUACCGAGUGGUGAGCAACCCUCUCACUCAGAGGCUUAGCUGCAGUCCAGUACUCGCCUAAGUUUGAAAAAUCCUACCGAGUGGUGAGCAAGCCUCUCAUUCGGGGGCUUAGCUGCAGUCCAGUACUCGCCUAAAUUUGGAAAAUCCUACCGAGUGGUGAGCGACCCUCUCACUCGGGGGCUUAGCUAUAGACCAGUACUCGCCUAAGUUUGAAAAAUCCUACCGAGUGGUGAGCAAUCCUCUCACUCGGGGGCUUAGCUACAGUCCAGUACUCGCCUAAGAUUAAAAACUCAUUCCGAGUGAGAACCAAUCUUCCUGCUCGAAGCCUUAGCCAUACGCUCCAUCCUGAUCCGCAAGGACAACGAGGGGCAGGUCGAUUACGACCUCCUCCUCAGAGUUGCACCGUCAAGAAGAAGGACGAGAUUGAGCAUGUUUCCAAGGCGAACCACUUUCAGGAACAUUGAGACCAUUGCUGAAUGCCUUGCUGAUGAGCUGAUCAAUACUACCAAGGGCUCAUCCAACAACUGCUGCUGGGAUGAACCGCUUUCAGGGACGUCAAGACCAUUGCUGAAUGCCUCGAUGAUGAGCUGAUCAAUGCUGCCAAGGGCUCACCCAACAGCCACUCGGAGGCUUAGCUGCAGAACAAAAAUAUGUUCCGAGUGGUAGAAACAACUUAAGAAACAGAUAUUCAAAGAAAUCCAAAUUCGGAUAAACCUUGCAAAAGUUCUGAAUUGAAGCGAACAAGAGUACUCAGGCAUCAGGCCUGAAAAAGAUUAACGAUUACACGAUCACUCAGCAUUCCGAGGCAAAUAAGUGUGGCGCAUAAUGUGUUUAGUCACUCGUCAGGAGAGGGGCUGGCUGGAUCACAGAAACUAUCAAGGUCAAUGCUAUCCGCAAUGCGAGUGGCUGCUUCGAGGAAGGUGUCCAUGAAGGACUGGAAGGUGUGCUUCUUAGUGUUUGCAACCUUGAGGGCCGCCAGCUUGUCUUCUCUGGCGUCUUUGCAGUGCACUCGGACCAAUGAUAGGGAAACAUCAACGCCGCAGUGAGCAGAUGAUUUCUUCCAUUCCUGCACUCGGCCAGGGAUCUGAUUCAGUCGAGUCAUCAGCUACUCGAGAUCUUGUGAAAGUUCUGCCUGAGGCCAGAGUUCAGCAUCAACCCGAGUCAUCACCGCCUUCAGUCGAGCCAGAUAAGCAACUGCGUUGUCCAUGCGUGACUCCAACCGUAGCAAGCUCAUCGCAACGUCAUCCUUGACAGGACAGUUGAUGGGGUCGAGGCCCGUCUCAACUGUCUAGUCUCAGCCUCAAAGUCCUGGCAAAGUUCUACACAUUCAGGAAAAAUGGUGAGUCGACAGUAUGACAGGACAUUCCAAUCGACGUCAACCAAUCAGUCGGACGAUGAUAGCUUCAAGCUUCAGGACCAGCUUUGUAGCAAGUUGUCCCAGAUAGGACUCCAGCUCGCCCGUCUUGGCUUUGAGGCUUCCGACUUCAUUGGUAAGGUUCUCCUUGUCCUUCUUCAGUUGCUCAACCUCCUUCUUCAGCUUCGAGUUCUCCUCCUCCAGCUUGCCGAUCGAAGCCACCUUCUUGUCAGCAAGCGUUGUCUUAUCUCAUGCAUCCUUCUGAGCAGCAGCAAGAUCCGGAUCCAUCUUCUCCAGAGCUUCCUUCAUUUUCUCUAAAGAAACAACACUCAUCAGACGAGCUUGAAGCUGACAAUUUUCACUACGCACAUCUGUUCGUGUGAAGUCACUCGGUUCAAAGAGACUGAAAGAAAAAACACUGAAAGGCGCGAGCCACAAGAUGGACAAUUAUCGAUCAGUUACCUCCCAUAAUGGUGGUUUCUUCCUGAGCAGUCUUGAGGUUCUUCUUCCCCAGUUCAAGAUCAAGAUUGAGGCUGAUUUGGUUCUUGUUCAACUCGGAAAGUUGAGCCCCAAGAUCACAAGAUCUCUGCAGUCGACAAGAGAGAUAUAUCAGUCGACAGAAACAAAAGACAAUCACAGUUAAAGUUACUCUAAGACUACUACCGAAUCAAAGAUUCAACAGUAGUCUCGGGGACUACACCCAGUGGGUGCACUCAGCGUGCCCCCACUAGUUUGGUUCAACACUCACCAUGGUCUGCCCAGCGUGAGUUUAAAAAAAAGAGAGAGGGAAGAUUAUCAGACCCCAGCCGACUGCCAGCAGUCAACCGUGGUCUCGGGGAUUACACCCAGUGGGUGCACUCUGCGUGCCCCCACUAGUUUGGAAAAAAACACUCGACUCAACAUGAGUCAAGUGGUGUGAAAGAUCUCUUACAAUCUAAAGCAAGCGCACCCUAGUGGGUGAUUGGAUAUGAAACAUAGACCUAUGGUAGUAAUCAUGGACAGCGUUUGAAAGCUCAGUCGGGAGACAACUAACCUUAACAUUGGUAUGCAGAGCAGUGGUGGCAUUGUAGGCCACCUGACUGGCCUCAUGCAUCACCUUCACUUGCUCCAUGACGAGAGUCACCUGGCGAAGAUCCUCCCUGGCAGCACUUGGCGAAUCAUCUGGAGUUCGGUAUGCAGCAAAAAGUGAUGGUUCCAAAGAAGGGUCGGACGCGUGGAGUUGCACUGGAGCAGCAGGAGCCGGAGUAGUCGACCCCGACGGACGAUCAGUCGUCAACGGGUUGGCGAAUGUGACAUUGGUCCGAACCGGAUCUCCGGAUCGAUCAACCACCUCCUCAAGCACUGGCGUCGACUGAGGAGCUUGAACUUCAAGCCCCCUCCCGCUCGAGCCCUUGCCUCUCCUCCUCCUAUCCUUCAAAGGCACUUCUUCUUCUUCAUCGUUAGGAAGCACGACGAUGUCUCAUGGAGCUGCAGCGAAAAGAAAAACAACAGAAAUUCAACUGAUCGAAAAUUCAGUCGACAAAAUAAGUUUUAAUUAAACGGACUUACCAGCUUUGGAGGUGGCCGCAUCGUCGGUUUCCUCAUAUCCUAGGGCCUUGUCAAUGUCCAUGUCAGUCGCAGGAGAGGUUGGGCUGGAAAGACGCACGGUCCACUCAGUAACCAACAGAAAUGCCAAUCGGCAGAAAGAAACACAGAAAGAUAAAAUUCUCGCCCGGAGGCAACCGGAACAUCCAUCUUGAUCCUCGGCAGAGUCUUCCGAGUCUUCGGAGGCGCAACCUUGAGCUGCUUGUCCACCUUCUCAGUUGGCUCCGGAGUCGACGUCUGAGUCCGCUUCUGCGUUUGGACACUAGGAGCCACGGCCUUGCCCCGCUCGCCUGCUGGAUCGUGAUGCUGCUUGGAUUGGUGCUCCGAGCAUGGCAACAAGUCGACCUCCUCGUCGUCGUCUGCCUCGUCGCUCUCCUCUUUGUCGUCGCUGUCUAAAGACUGCCACUCGCCGCUCUCGUCCGUGUUGUCCUCCCCUUCAUGGUCAUGUCCCAGGGUUUGCUCGCCAUUGGGCAUGGAAUACAUCUCAGUAUAAACCUACAAAACAAGAAGUCGAGUGAAAUCCAGUCGGUACCAGAGACAGAUGCAAGAUACACAAGAAAUCAGUCGGAGGCAGAAGUUCGAACCUUGUCUGGUGGAUUGCUGUCGCUGAAGGGAGCGACCCUCCUGGCCCCCCUAGGGUUAUCCUUGUUGCCCGUGAUGCUCUUCAACCAUCCAGCCACCGUCUUGGCCGAGACUUCCUCCGGAUGAACCCGAGCGGUGUCAUUGGCACCAGAGUACAUCCACAUCGAGUGAUCCCGAGCCUGAAGCGGCCGGAUGCGUCGACUGAGAAACACCUCCAGCAAGUCCAUCCCGGUCACGCCCUGAUUAAUCAGCUGGACCACCCUCUCGACCAACAUAUUCGUCUCCAUCCUCUCUGCAACAGUCACUUUCAGCGAGGAAGGGGUUUGAACACGAUCGAAAGAGAAAGGGGGAAGUCCAGUCGACUGGCCUGGGGUGGGGACGUCCUGGCAGUAGAACCAGGUCGACUGCCAGCCCCUGACCGACUCAGGAAGGGUCAUGGAAGGGAAGGAGCUCCUCUUCCUCUUCUGGAUUCCCAAACCACCACACAUUUGGAUAACAUGUGUCUUCUCGUCACUCGAGUUUGCUUUUUUGACCGACUGAGAACGGAUGGUAAAGAUGUGUUUGAAGAGGCCCCAGUGCGGUCGACAGCCAAGGAAAUUCUCACACAUGGACACAAACGCCGCCGAGAUAGGUGAUGGUGUUGGGAGAAAAAUGGUGUAGUUGGGCUCCGAAGAAGUUCAGAAACCCCCGGAAAAAGUGGUGCGGCAGAAGCGAAAAACCACGGUCGACGUGGGUGGAGAGCAGUACACACUCACCCGGACGCGGAUGCGGCUCCGUCUCCCCCUCCGAUAGCCUCGCGGUGCCCUCGGCGAUCAGCCCGAGCUCAGCUAGCUCAUCCAGGUCCUCUUGCCGGAGCGAAGAUCGGAUCCAGUCGCCCUGGAUCCAACCCAUCGGCAACGCCGACCGCGACGAUGACCCUCGCUGGGUCUUCUUGCCCUUCGCCGGCCCUUUCACCUUCUUCGCUCGUUCCAGCGACGCCGUCUUGUCCUUCACCAUUGUGGCGGAGCGGCGGCAUCAAGAGCGGACGAGCUGCAUGCGGUGGAGAGGCAGAGGAGAAAGUCGGAGAUUGAGAGCACACAGUACAAUGCCUCGGCCUCGCCACCUUUUAAAGGCCCCCUUCCGAGUGCCUGACGCGCGGGCCCGGGCGAUCCUGUCAAAUCCCCACAGCAGUCGCGCGCCGGAUACGUGGCGAAAAAGGCGGCACAGAGAUCGAGGCUUUCCUACUUAUCCGUCCCGAUUUUCGCGGCACGCUCCGCCCCGCGCGCUUCCCCAAAAUUUCGAAUCCUGCCAAAUUCGGGAUACGUGAUAACCAAUCGCGCCGAAGAUCUUGCAACAGAAGACAACAAUCGAUAGAUGACACUACUAAUCUACUCGGCAACUUCUGAAUUGAUCGAGGCGACUGAAAUGAAGCUUAAGGUCCAACACGAACCUCCCGUUCGACGCAGGUCCUCGCGAAGCACGAAGGUUGAAGCAAACUCCCCUUCAAUCUUCUUUCCACUCGGUCCUCAAUCCAUUUGGGGGCUAAUGAUGAGGAUAUAGACCUAUGGUAGGGUCAUAGGCCUGACCUACUUACCCUACCCAAGGUCAUUACCCUAGAAGCAAAGAAACUCAAGAGAUAAUAGGGAGUACCCAAGGAAGACGUCAAGUGACAUCCACUCGACCAAUCAUAUCACUCGGGUGUCCCAACUUACCGAAGAUCACUCGACCAUACAAGAAACGACUCGACCUAUGAAGACCAGGAGUCAGAUGGAACUACAAUGGUCGGACAUUCACUCUGUAGUCUUCAUGAACAUUAAUGACACUUGAAAGCCGGCGUUAUCAGUAACGCUCCUCCUUUAUGUACAUUCAACCCUCUGUAACGGGGGAUGGCUGGGGUCCUGGCGAACUCUAUAUAAGCCACCCCCCUCCUCUGGGACAAGGGUUCGCACCCCCUGUAACAUCACACACACAUAAUCCAAUCGACUACCUCCGGGCACCGAGACGUAGGGCUUUUACUUCCACCAUGAAGGGCCUGAAUUCAUAAACCUUGUGUGUACAACUUCAUCAUAGCUGAGAUCUUGCCUCUCCAUACCUACCCCCCUUUCUACUGUCAGUCUUAGGACCACGACAAUGCCUACGGGUCCAUAGCUACUAGCUAGAUGGCUUCUUAUCUCUCUUUGAUCUUCAAUAUAAUGUUCUCCUCGAUGUUCUUGGAGUUCUAUUCGAUGUAAUCUUCUUUUGCGGUGUAUUUGUUGGGAUCCUAUGAAUUGUGGGUCUAUGAUCUGAAUAUUCAUGAGAAGUAAUUGAGUCUUUUCUAAACUUUAUUAUGCAUGAUUGUUAUAGCUUUGUAUUUCUCCCCGAUCUUUCCAUUUGGUUUGGCCAACUAGAUUGAUUUAUCUUCAGUGGGAGAGGUGCUUUGUGAUGGGUUCAAUCUAGCAGUGCUCUAUUCCAGUGAUAGGAAGGGACAAGACACGUAUUUGUAUUGUUUCCAUUAAGGAUAUAACGAUGGGGUUUAUUCAUAUUAGUUGAGUUUACUUUGUCUACAUCAUGCCAUCUUGCUUAAGGUCUUACUCAGUUUUUCAUGACUUAAUACUAUAGAUGCAUGCUAGACAGCGGUCGAUUGGUGGAGUAAUAGUUGUAGAUGCAGGCAGGAGUUGUUCUACUUGUCUCGGACGUCAUGCAUAUAUACAUGAUCAUUGCCUUUGAUACUGUCAUAAUUAUGUGCUUUUCUAUCAAUUGUCCAAUAGUACUUUGUUCACCCACCGUAUGUUAUGUGUUCGAUAGAGAAGCCUCUAGUGAAAAUUAUGGCCCCCGGGUCUACCUUUAUCAUAUUUCAAAAACCAAAUUACCUUUGCUGUAAUUUUUUAUCUUUUAUUUUGUUUUGCAAUUUAUCUAUCUACCAUUACAAGAUUUGAUAUUUGCAAGUAACUAGUUCAAGGGGAUUGAGAACCCUCUUGCCCGCGUUGGGUGCAAGUGUUUGCUUUUGCGUGUUUUCACGAGGCUUUGCUUGAUUCUCAUACUGGAUUGAUACAUUGGUUCUCACUGAGGGAAAUACUUAUCUCUACUGCUUUGCAUCUCCUCCCCUCUCCGGGGAAAAUCCCAAUGCAGCUCACAAGUAACAAGGUUAUGAAUGAAUCAUAGGCAGGUGUUCAAGAUCACUUCAUGAUCAACUAGUUGUGACCCCUUAUGCGUAGGAUUAUCUUAUCUUGUUUUAGUAUUCGUAAUACUAGUUGGUUUACAUUUCUUAGCUACUUGUUGCAACAUCACCACUUAACCAUACCCUACUCAUAACUGAUGUUAGUCUUAGUACUAUUGGUAAAGUUAUUGUUGAGUCUCAUUGACUUAGGAAUAGCAUAAGAAACCCAGAUGCACGGACGGGUAAAGUUGCUCUAAGGCGAGAGCAUGAACGUUCUACAUGGAGUUCUUUUCAUUCUUAUUUGACGGUGAUCAUUAGGAUGGGAUCCCAGUUGGCAACCUCAGACUAGCAGGGUGGACAUUGCUUUUUUCUCUUUCCUCUUCGGCAUAUUUGCUUCUUAUCCAUACUCGGAUCUGUGCCUUCUUCCGCUGCAACGAUUGAUGUAAUGUUGGGUCAUGUUGACCUGUGUUCGGUGAACUAUUUAUGUAUUGGCAAAUGUAUGCCAUAAUGUUAUCUCGUAUUAUCUCUUCUAUUCAUGAGUAGUCGUAUUUGUUGUGAUGUCCACCUUGUUACCAACAUAUGACCUCCCGUGUAUGUUUUGAAGUCAUAUGUUGGGGCAACCAAUAUGCGCUUCUAUAGUUAGCAAGGAUUGCAAAGUAUUCGAUGGAGCUAGGACUGCAUUUUGGGCGUUACACUGGAUAUUGCCAAAUGUGUGUGUGCGUGUGUGUGUGUGUGUGUGUGUGUGUGUGUGAGAGAGAGAGAGAGAUGUGAAGGCAUGAUGAAUGAAUAACAUGACAAUGUGACAACCUUGUUCUGCCAAAUCAUGCGUACUCGAAUGCCACGUGAGAAAAAUUCUCCACGUCUACCAUUCUUCAAACCCGAUUGAUGGUAAAGUGAUGUAUAACAUUUUAGGGGGUGUUAUGUGAGACUAAACUCAACGUACACACAUGCCACCUUACCACACAUGUCAUCUCAUCAACCCCACUACUUCUAUUUCUCUUAACAUACAUGGGAAAUGUUACUUAUAGUCAACAUGCACAUAUCCCGCUUCAUCAACCCCACUACUUUUAUUUCUCUCAACAUGCAUGAAAAUACUACUCCCACCGAUCCAUAUUAAUUGUAGCUGCUUUAGUACAAGUAAAUAGUUUACAACUAUAUAAUAAUAAUAAUCAAAUACAAUAAAUAUUAUGUAAUUUUAGUCUUCAUUGCAAUAUUCAAAUACCAUACAACUAAAUCUCAUCAAAAUAAUAUAUUGCACUUGCGACCAAUUCUCGCAACAAUGCCUGGAGUACCAUCUACUCACUCUGUCCCAUAAUAUAAGAGCGUUUUGACACUACACUAGUGUAAAUACGCUCUUAUAUUAUGUGACAGAGGGAAUAGUUUAUAAAAUAAAGUGAAUAAAACUAAUAGUCAAUGGGGUAUUGUCUAGUUUACCGGGGGGUGGGGGGCUGGCUGCGAGAGUGACUUUUUUCUAUAGAUUUCCGUGAUAUUUCUUGUGAAUGUGAUGUGGUCAUGCCUUCUUAAACUAUUAAUGUGUAACCGAAGACAAGUGGCGCCCAUGAGUAUCUCAUCUGAUGAGGAUACCAAGGGUUUUGUUAAAGGUUAUUUCUUGUAAAAAGCAUCCACCGGUGUUUCGUUUUAACCUCUCCCGUAUACAUGCAUCCAUAAAAAUCACUAGCAUAACGCUCACACAUUGUUGUGGAAGUAUGGCAUAAUUGAAGUUGUAUUAGAUAUAGUAUACAACAACCAAUGUAAUUGCAACAUUGCAGAGAAAAACUCAAGCAAGCAUGCAACAUUGCACAUGCCUAAUUGCGCGAUCAUAGAAGCAUCGUCAUGUACUUAUAAGAUACUCUCUAUUCAAGACAUGGGUGAGGUGGUCGCUUGCUAGUUUGAUUGAGUUGGGUGUAAUGACAAGUGUGUGGGUUGUGGAUCCUUAUCAGCAUUAUUUUUUAUUGCUUUGUUUAUUAUUUGUUUUCAAACAGGAGAGGUCUGGUUGAUUCUAGAUGGAUGAAGAAGAAUGGGAUGGAGUAGAGAGUGAACUCUUCCAAACCAGAGGGGUCUCGUGGGUUCUAGAUGGAUGAUGAAGGUUGAGUGAAGUGGGAAGUAAACUCUUCGAAGCCAAAGAGGUCUAGUGGUUCUAGAUGAAUGAGAUAGGUUGGAGUGGAGUGAGGAGUGAACUUACCACUACCAACAACAACUCCAGUUUAUAAGAUAGUAGAGAUAUGCUAUCAAAGUUUCUAUCGUCACUCCAACAUGUGACACGUUUCAUGUUUUCUUGGAUUCUCGCUAGGUUUUGCCCUGCCUACCAACAACACUUUUGUUGGCACAUAGACAGAUCCAAAGGGCACCGCCUUUCUAUCCGUUGAUCCUCUAGGACGUUCUAGAGGCCUCUUUGGAUCAUUGCACCAUGGUGUACACCUACCUUGUUGAUCAUGUGGGGUCUUCUAGAGUCCUCUUUGGCUCAUAGUAGCGUGAUGCCCACAUAUCCUUCGCCUCUAGGGCCUUCUGGAGGCCCCUAUGGCGCAUAGUGCUGCAAUGAACCUUUGAACGCCCGUGGUAGGCAAUGUUUGAAGCUGUUUGAAGCUUAUGGUUUGAGACCUCCUUGACAAAAUUAUAAAUUUUAAAUAUGAAAGCCUCAUGAAAUUUAUCAACUUGUUUGUUUCUACCAAACACGUUGAAAUCACGUGAUCUUGAAACACAUGCUAAUUGGGAUGAACUUUGGCAUGAUGCAAAUUUUGCGUGAAAUCCGCAACGCAAAGUUUAGAUAAAAUUCUUUUCGCAAAAAUCAUAAGAACAUAUUCUUACAAAAAGAUUGGUAACAAGUGUCAAGUUGAUAAACCCUGAAACAUAUAAGCUAGUCACGCCCGCUGGUUAAAUAGAGUUAUGCUCGAGUAAACCCACAAACAUGGCAAUAAUUCAAAAAAGACAAUAAUCUUUUACUCCAAUUUACGUGACCGCUAUUAAAACCCUACCGAACGGUUUUUUUUUGCAAGAAGCCAAACAAGAACAAAAUGAGCUGAAAAGCCGGUGUGAAUUUUCUCCUCACCAAGUAUUUUGGCAAGAAUCAAUGAGUUGCUAAAUGUAUAGAAUGGGUAUAAAAUGGGGAGCCGGAUCCCCUGACGUACGGCCACCUGACGUUGGACCACUGACGCGUGGGUCCGGGUUCAGCGCCGUACGUCAGAGGAGCUGCGUCCAUAAAAUGGAGGGUCAUUUUUAUCCAAAAUUGGUGUGGAAGCUAAUUAGAACACUGCCCCACAAAGAAAAACCACCACUAUAAAAAUGUGUACUACCGUGUGAAAGAGGAAAUCAAUUAAAACCUGCAGGAAAAAAAGAGAGGAAGUAGCGAGGAACGGCAGAUCUGAGGGGGGACGACCCGCCCGCCCCGAUUUCUCCUCCCCUGUUUAUACGGCCCUCCCAACCGGCUCCGGGCACCACCACCACCAAUUCGCAACCUCUCCUCCCCCGUUCUCCUCAUUGUCCUCGCGCCCCGCUCCGCUCCGACGGCCAACCGCUCCACACACCACUAGCCUGCCUGCCUGCCUGCCGCCAAGGUACAGCAGAUCACUCUCCUCCCCCCGCGCCUCCUCCUUGUACUUCUCGGCCCGCGAGUGAGAUGCGCGCGCCUGUUCAUCUCGUCUUGUGUUGUAUGUGCGCGCCGAGAUCUUGUGCCGUUGCGUGACCCUGAUCCGCGGCUCGCUGCUCGUUCGCUCCGGCGUCGGUGUGGUGAGAUCUGGGCUGCCGUCCGGCCCUUCUCCGCCGAUCGAACUCACCUCCGUGCCCAUUACUCGUAACCGUCCGCCGCUGUACCGUGCUGGCUUGGAGGGGAGAGAUCCGUCCAGUUUGGCGGGGGUUUUGCUUACUGAUGGAGUACUGACAGCACUUUAUUUUCCAGAAAUAUCCGGGACUCAGUUCUCGGUUGUAGUACUUGUAGAUCUUAGUACUGUACAUUAUGCGCCAUGUAACCGUGUUUUUCUGUUCCAAGUAUUUAUGACGCCUGGGUGCAUAAGGACACGCUGGAGCGGGUUAAUUCAGGGGCAAUUCUGCGUUGACGCCAAAUGGUUGAUUUGCGGCAAAUUAACAACGGCAGUUCUACCUAAUUAUUUAGUCAAUGUUUUUGAAAUUGUGACUAGAUGACUUGUAGAUAGUAGGUUCAUCUAUAUAUGUGGCCUCUCUUGCAAUGGUUUAAGUGGUACAACAUACAAUUUGGGGUCGACAGACGGUCGAUGCUCUCUCAUGUCUAUUUUUACAACUCAAGAUGAACGAUUGUAGUAACUUUGUUUACACUGGCUGUGUACUGUUUAGUACAUGGUAAAUUAAUGAGGAAAACAUGUUUCCUGAAUUUUGAUUGGGGAGGGAUAGGUUGUUCAUGCCAAUUUUGUUUAUGCAGUGAACUUUUGGUGUUUCAUGCUGUGCGUCCUUUCUGAAAUUUUCUCUGCAGUGCACCCUGCUGUUUCUUGUAUUUCUUACUGCUACAUGUGUGCGGAGUUCUUGCGGUGUAAUCCUGACAAUUUUGUUUCAUCAAACAGGCAAGAUGGUGAAGAUCUGCUGCCUUGGGGCUGGCUAUGUGGGUGGCCCAACAAUGGCGGUCAUUGCCCUCAAGUGUCCUGACAUUCAGGUGGUUGUGGUAGAUAUCACCAAGUCCCGGAUUGAUGCCUGGAACAGUGACACACUGCCAAUCUAUGAGCCUGGCCUUGAUGAAGUCGUGAAGCAGUGCCGUGGAAAGAACCUCUUCUUCAGCAAUGACAUUGAGAAGCAUGUUAGUGAAGCUGACAUCAUCUUUGUGUCGGUAAACACCCCAACCAAGACCCGUGGUCUUGGAGCUGGUAAGGCUGCUGAUCUCACUUACUGGGAAAGUGCAGCUCGCAUGAUUGCUGAUGUGGCCAAAUCAGACAAGAUCGUGGUGGAGAAGUCCACUGUUCCAGUCAAGACUGCUGAGGCAAUUGAGAAGAUCUUGACCCACAACAGCAAUGGCAUCAACUUCCAGAUCCUCUCCAACCCGGAGUUCCUUGCUGAGGGUACUGCUAUCCAAGACCUAUUUAACCCUGACCGUGUUCUUAUUGGAGGACGUGAGACCCCUGAAGGUCAGAAGGCUGUUCAGACGCUGAAGGCUGUGUAUGCGCAUUGGGUUCCUGAGGAUCAGAUUCUGACAACCAACUUAUGGUCUGCGGAGCUGUCGAAGCUUGCAGCCAAUGCGUUCUUGGCCCAGAGGAUCUCCUCUGUGAAUGCCAUGUCAGCCCUCUGCGAGGCCACUGGUGCAAAUGUUUCUGAGGUGUCCUAUGCCGUGGGCAAGGACUCUAGGAUUGGCCCAAAGUUUUUGAAUGCCAGUGUUGGAUUUGGAGGCUCUUGCUUCCAGAAGGAUAUCCUCAACCUGGUUUACAUCUGUGAGUGCAAUGGCCUCCCAGAGGUCGCCAACUACUGGAAGCAGGUGAUCAAGAUCAAUGACUACCAGAAGAGCCGGUUCGUGAACCGUGUUGUUUCCUCUAUGUUCAACACGGUUGCGAACAAGAAGAUUGCGGUGCUUGGUUUUGCAUUCAAGAAGGAUACUGGUGACACUAGGGAGACUCCAGCUAUUGAUGUCUGCAAGGGUCUGCUUGGUGACAAGGCUAAGAUCAGCAUUUAUGAUCCUCAGGUGACUGAAGACCAAAUCCAGCGUGACCUUGCGAUGAACAAAUUUGACUGGGACCACCCUGUUCAUCUCCAGCCAAUGAGCCCCACCACUACAAAGCAAGUCUCGGUUACCUGGGAUGCAUAUGAGGCGACCAAGGAUGCCCAUGGCAUCUGCAUCAUGACUGAGUGGGAUGAGUUCAAGACUCUGGACUACAAAAAGAUCUACAACAGCAUGCAGAAGCCCGCCUUUGUUUUUGAUGGCCGCAACGUUGUUGACUCUGAGAAGCUGAGGGAGAUUGGCUUCAUUGUCUACUCCAUUGGCAAGCCACUCGACGGUUGGCUCAAGGACAUGCCUGCUGUGGCUUAAAUAAACUCUGAUAAAGGGAGGAGAUCCGCCUCGGGUGAAUCCAUGAGCAGCUAUCGAUAGGGAUUCAGCUUGUUAUUUCUCUUUAUAGUCGCUGUUUAUCUUGUGCCAGAAAAUCAGAUGUCAUUUAUUUUUCUUCCUUGAGUGUUUCUUCGGGGUUUACAGUGUUAGAAUGGUAUAGUCACUGGGAUGUGCCAUUCCUUUGGUCCAUUGUCACAGCUUUGUAGCUAAUGUCUGUUGUUGCAUCUUUAUCAUGUUACUGGUGUUCAUCCUGUUGAUUAUACAUGUGGCUUCAGUUACUAAGAUUAUUUUAGCAAUCUACAUAUUCUGCAAUUCAGCAUUUCUUUGCUUGUGAAUAUAAUUUGUUGUGAAAUCUGCUUCUGAGAUGAGUGCAAUUGGGACAUGGCUGCUGCGUAAACUCGCUAUUUCUUCGCCAGGAAAAUCGUGUGGUUCCUUUAAGAAGGAAAAAAAAAACUCAUGGUCUCCUAUAUAUCACAGCAAUGCAGUUAAUUGAGCACAUAAUCUCUAUGCAGUUUAUAUUUUUGAGGCGUUUUUAUGCAUAUUUGUAUCACUCUUGCCCAAACUUUGGCUUGCUUGUGCUCUUUAGUGCUUGGGCUGUAGGUCACUGUGGUUAUUAGCUGACCAGGACUCACAUUAUUGACUCUGUCAGGUUUUGGUGUUUCUACUUGAGUUUGUUCCCUCAUGGAAGGUUGAUUCCACCAUGCUUUGUCGUAACAUAUUUGUGUUUUCGAGGGUGAAAGCUGACGGAGCUGAGAUUGAGAUUGAGAUACCAAAGGUCAAUCGGCAAGAUGCAUGCUUCAAGUAGUUAUUUUCACUGGUACUUGGUAGUAUCUGGGAACACUCCAGGUAAGGAUUUUGUAUUCAGUGAUCUUCUGACUCUGAUGAAUGAGCACAAUAUUUAAGGAAGAGAUCCAACAAAUGGCAGGGUCAGUUUCUUCCUGCAAUGUGUUCAGAUAUUUUUUCCUGGAACAAUGCUCUGAUAACUAAAUCGGUGCAGGGAACUCAAAGCCAUCUCCUUUGGUGUUUGCAUUCACCUGAAUUCUCAAAUUUAUCCCGGAUCUCUCGCAUUUUAAGGUGUGCAUUAUGGAGGCGCACUCGGGUGGAUGUGUCCGUGGCCGUAUGACAUACGUACAUGAUAAAUGCCAAAAUGUCGCAGAGGUGUCGGUGGACCUUGAUGAUGAAGAUGAUUCUGCCAAAGAGGUCGGUAUCCAGAUGACUCUUGAGUGAUCAGCUGGCUGGUUGUCCCAUCGAUAAUGAGGUACACGUUUGCUUUGCGCAAUCAGCACAUCUCGUUUUCAGGCCUUUGUCCAGAAUAUUACAGUACAAUGCAUUAUUUUUGUUUCAGUCUUUUAUUUUUUCCUGGAUUCCAGUUUCAUUGGUAUGCUGUGUGCAGACUGUGAGGUUUUUGUGUUCCUACUUGAGUUAUUAUGAUUGUGGCGUGUCGUCCAUUCAUUCAAGGUUGAUUUACCACACAUUGUCUCACACUUUUGUUUGUUUCAUUUAUAUGGCAAGUGAGGCGAGAGGUUGAUAAGGCUGUGAUUGAGAAACCAGAGGUCAAUCCAUGAUAACAUCUAUGCUUGAAGUAGUUAUUAUAACUGGAAAUAUGGCAUCUGGGAACAGACACUCACUCAGGUAAGCAGACAGUAGUGUUCAGUAACCUCCCUUCUGAAUUCACUUGGGAAAAACAAACCUCACUUCAGGUUGAAAGGUUGCGGAUUGCUCCUGAGAAACGAUCCUGGGUUGGCGCAUGGGAACUGAAAACCAACGGAUUCAAAUCUUGGUGCUCGUGUUUACCUGAAUCUACCUCGGAUCCUUUGCUAGUAGGGGACAUACUCAUGUGGUGUGCCUGAGGCGUUAUACAUGCCAAGAUUCCACCAAGUUAUCGGUGAAUGAUUGGUACGGAAAUCUGCCUUGAUGAUGAUUCGACCAAGAGGCUGGCUGUUAAUAAGCAAUCGAUGGCCAGGUAGCCGGUUGUUCCAUUAAAAAACGCGAAACAUGUUUGCUUGGCGACAUUGAGUUGUCAUUUCCACCGUUCCUCGUAAGCCCUUGUCCACGAUAUUCCAAACCAUCUAUAUUUUGUUUCCUUUGUUCUUGCUUGUGAAAUGGAUGUUUGAGCUGUCAAAUGUGAUAAAGGGAGAAGAUCCGCCUUGGGUGAAUCCAUGAGCAGCUAUUGAUUGGAUUCAGCUUGUUGUUUCUCUUUAUAGUUGCUAUUUAUCUUGUGCUAGAAAAUCAGAUGUCAAUUUUUUCUUCCUUGAGCAUUUCUUUGGGGUUUACGGUGUUAGAAUGGCAUGGUCACUGGGACGUGUCAUUCCUUUGCUCCAUUGUCACAGCUUUGUAGCUAGUGUCUGUUGUUGCAUCUUUAUCAUGUUAUGGUUAUACAUGUGGCUUCAGUUACUAACAUUAUUUUAGCAAUCUAC
RNAcentral lists this long non-coding RNA (52222 nucleotides) under Triticum aestivum (bread wheat). Its description in RNAcentral is "long non-coding RNA (TAES_LNC002956)". Lineage: Eukaryota; Viridiplantae; Streptophyta; Magnoliopsida; Poales; Poaceae. The record is from RNAcentral.